CCGCCAGGCCUCACGCGUCGGAGGCGGAGGCGCAGAAGAACGAGCCGACGGCGGCGCAGUCCUCCGGCUCCGACGUCAAGGUCUUCCAAAUCUACCGAUGGAGCCCUGAAAAUCCGUCCAAGCCGGAGCUCCAGGACUACAAGAUCGACCUAAAGCAGUGCGGGCCCAUGGUCCUUGACGCUCUAAUCAAGAUCAAGAACGAGAUGGAUCCGUCGCUCACCUUCCGAAGAUCCUGCCGCGAAGGCAUAUGCGGUUCGUGCGCGAUGAACAUCGACGGCUGCAAUGGCCUCGCGUGCCUGACGAAGAUCUCCUCCGGCAAGCCUACGAUGAUCACGCCUCUGCCUCAUAUGUUCGUGAUUAAGGAUCUGGUCGUCGACAUGACCAAUUUCUACAACCAGUAUAAGAGCAUUGAGCCGUGGCUGAAGCGUAAGAACCCUCCUGAGGUUGCCGGGAAGGAGAUUCUGCAGAGCAAAAAGGAUAGGUCGAAGCUGGAUGGGAUGUAUGAGUGCAUUUUGUGCGCAUGCUGUAGCACUUCGUGUCCCAGCUAUUGGUGGAAUCCUGAAGCUUACUUGGGUCCUGCUGCACUGCUUCAUGCUAACAGGUAAUCCGAUUCCUUUCCCUUUCUUAUUUCAUAAUUUUCGUGUGUAUGGAGAUUAGAGAUUAGCGAACAAUUGGAUUAGGUUUCCAUGCAUUGACAUUGUGAAUAGGGUAUAUACUUGGAAUGAUACAAUCGUGCAAGUGUUGAAAAUUGGAGUUCAUGGAUUGAACUAAGCUCUUUAUUUUAGGGGCAAUUGCAAAUUCCUUGGUGUCAUAGGAAGCAGUGUUCCAAUUAGUUCAAUUUCGAAAUACUGACCUAGUGACUAGAGCGUGCCUUACUAUGGAUGACGGGUAUAUAUAUAAUGCAAUAAGGUGCUAUAGAGGAAACGAAGUGUGAGAGAUUUUAGGAGUUUCCAACCAAUGACCGAGCAAUCCGACUGGCUCAAAGGGGUGUUUAUAACUCAUGAGUUACUCUUGUUUGGUGGAGUCGGAGAGGGAGAUAGAGCUUCAACAAAUUCACGCAGUCCCUGUGGUGAUGGUUAUCGAACUGCGUCAUGCCAUUUCCUUGAGGUACUGUGGUAGUCUAAGUCAUUACAGUAGAUCAUACCAUGAAGCAUUUGGUUGUGGUUGAUAUCAAAACCUCCAUUUGCUAGUGAUGCUACUAUCCACGAGAUUUCAGAUGAAGAAAGGACGCAGUGAUACAUGCUUCUCAGGAGGAAUUGUUGGUCUGCAAUCCUACCGAGACAGUAACAAACAAGAUUAGUAGGAAUUGUGUGUUCGUAUCGGAAACAAUAAUCUCCCUUGAUAUCUCCAACGAAGAAGCACUGUGUUUGUAUUUUGUUUAUGGAAUCGCAUAUGGACAUCCACUGUUAAGUUCAAGUUUGGUUCGACUAACUCUAUUGUAUUCUAGAGAAUCGGAGAAGGAAUGGAUUGGGAAACAAGACGAUGUAGCACUUAGCUUAUUCUCUUAGUUAUUUCAAUCUGUUUGGAUGUCAUGAUCAGUAAGGAUUCUUAACAUUUCAUAUCGUCUGUGAUUUGGUUUUGAUGUUGAGCUCAGAUGAAAGUGGUAGUAAACUAACGCUUUGUUAAUGUCAAUGGCGCAGGUGGAUCAGUGACAGCCGUGAUGAAUACACAAAGGAGCGACUGGAUGCGGUAAACGAUGAGUUUAAGCUGUAUAGGUGCCAUACUAUCUUGAACUGUGCUCGUGCCUGCCCCAAAGGGUUGAACCCUGGAAAGCAGAUUCAGAAUAUUAAGGGUCUUCAGAUCAGCGGUGCUCCAUGAGUCUUCAAUACAAGGUUCUGAAGAGGAUUAACCAGUUGUUAUUCUGGCUAUUCUUUCCAAAAGAAGUGUAAACAUCUGUUGCCAAGUUCUUAAUAAUUUGUACUUCAAUCUUACUGCAUUUUGAGUUUUAUGAUUGUGUUUCCUCACUAAUCUUUUUUAAGAAAUAGAGUUUUUUCGCUGGGGGUAUUAUGUUGCUUGCUAUCAGUUACUAUGUCAACAGCUAGUCGUUCCGAAUUAUUUGUACUCGCCGCCAAAACGACCUUGCGAUACCUCGUUGUAUAUGGGAGGAAUCGUUUUCGAAACGAUGUGGAAUAAUAAUGUUCAUCACGAGACCCUCAUUGGAUUCAGAUAUUGAGAAAAAUUGACAUUUUUUACAAGGCAAAAUGGUUGACUUGAACUAGUGGUUGUUACACGUUAACGAAUAUGGUACGUGGAUACACUUUAACGAAUAUGGUACGUGGAUACACUUUAACAAAUUCGAUCAUGGAAAAUAUCGUUUGUAACUUACGCACAAUAACGGAUUUCAUCAUGUACUUAGAGUUUAGGUUGUUUACUUAGGCAAUUGGAUAGAUGAAAAACUGGGAAAGGAGGGUUGUGCUGUACUUCUUUAUGUCAUUGUGGAUGAUGACAUGCACAAAGCUGAGGCUUUAUGCAAAGACUUGCCAAACUCUAUCAUUAUCUUCAAAGUAUAACCAGUAACAACUUUUUCCUCUGUGGUAAGAAGCAAGCAACACAAAAUUUCAUUUCCGAAAUCACUUCAUACUUCGUAUGGAUCUACCUUUUCGGCCGGAUCCGUUAAAAAAAGUUCUCAUCCAGCUUUUUACCGGCCAAACUAAACAAAUUACAUUUUAGGGAAUCUAAUAUAUGCUAUAAUUGGACAAAUUUUUUUCCUGUGUGGAAAAACUGUUUGUGGCUGAAUACGUUCGUAUAACCGUCCAUAUACUUUCCGUUAGUCAUGUACACAGACAUACAGAGACAGGGGUCAGGGGCAACCUAAGUUAGAAAUGAAUUGCAGAGUUCUUAUACGCCACUUCCCAUGCGCAAAGCUCUUAGCUUUUCUUCAUCUCCCACAUAUUUAUAGCCUCCUCGAGGAAGACCAAGAAACAAUUAAAAAAUGGCUUCGUGGAAUUCGAUUCCCCUAGAAAUAACGUACCAGACACUGGGUUGGCUGGCUUUCGUCGCAUGGUCCAUCAGUUUCUAUCCUCAGGUCAUCUUGAAUUUCCGCCGAAAGAGGCAGGUUAACCAUUUGUUUUUCUCUCAACCGCCCCCCCUGCUGUCCAGCAGCAGUACUUUCAAAAGUAUGGCUAUGACCAGGUUAGUAUGAUUCUCUAUACUCUCAUACUUCAGCUAUAACCUGUUAUUAUACAAUAAUGAAACAAUGUUUCUUCCCUAUGGGGCAGAUGAUACCGGUUGCUGCAAAUGAUGUUGCUUUCUCAAUACACGCAGUUGUAUUGACACUGAUCACGCUGUUCCAAGUUUUUAUCUAUGAAGUAGGUGGAUUGGAUUCUUCACUCAUUCAUUAUCAGUGGUUUGUUUUAGAAUUGUUUUUGGUCUGGCUUCAAUCUCCUGAUUUGGGAUGAGGUGUUCUUUUUUCACAGCGCGGAACUCAGAAGAUCUCCAGGAUCUCAAUAGGAAUUGUUAGUGUCGUAUGGCUACUCGCUGCAGCUUGCUUUUUUGUUGCUUUACCUAGCCAUUCUUGGCUCUGGCUCAUCUCCAUCUUUAAGUGAGUAUCUCCAUCUUACUAUAAAAAGCCUGUAAAUUAUAUAUUGCAUGAAUGAGCGACUGUAACAUCUUAGUUAUGCGAUAUGCACAGACCUCCAGGUUUCAAAUGAUCUGUAACAGCUUAUGAUUCAGUUUGUUCAACUUUUUCGGUUCUACUUCGAAAACUAUAGCUUGAGUGAGUCAUUUGUCUCAUUACAUUCUAAUGCCGCAAUUUGUUUGCAGCUCGAUUCAAGUCUUCAUGACGGUCAUUAAGUAUAUUCCACAGGUUUGGAUGAAUCUAUUUAUGAAAAUAUCGAUUCCUACUCUGAUUAUGCUUAACCUUACUUGUCUUCUCUUGUUUCUGUUUGGUUGGCUUUGCAACACAGGUGGUAAUGAAUGUCAUUCGUAAGAGCACCGAGGGAUUCAGCAUUGGAAACAUUUUGCUUGAUUUCACCGGCGGUGUUGCCAAUUAUGCACAAAUGGCAGUACUUUCUAUCGACCAAAGUUCGUAUCUUUCUUCCCUGCAUAGACAUUUCCAAUCAUUUCCCUUUUUCACAUACUAAUGUUUUUCAGCUGUUGAUUUUCGUUUGCCUACUUGCAGAUUCUUGGGUCAAUUUCUAUGGCAACAUAGGGAAGACACUACUCUCUUUGGUAAAGAUAGUUGCUAUCAAAUUUCAUUUUAGAUGUAGAGUUGUCAGAAUCUUACAUUGGCUUUGUAUGGCUACACAAAACUUUCAGGUUUCGGUAUUCUUCGACAUUCUAUUCAUGGUGCAGCAUUACAUCGUGUAUCGAGCGAAGGAGAUCAGCGACGCUCCUGGGAAGGCGAACAGUGAUCCGCUUAUCGAAUCUUCUGUUGAAGAGCCGCAGACUGGAAGUGUUGUUUGAGUUUGUUCGCACUUGUCUAGGUAAAAAUCAACUGCGGUGUAAAUAAUGGAUAGUUUGGGAUCAGAUGUCCUUUUUCCAGUGAUUUUCUCUUCUUUUCUAGUUCCACCAGUCUCCUCAAGAACAGGAAGGUGACUGGUGAAACUCAAAUUGUAAUAUUUAUACUAGAUCAACACAAUGUUUUAGCUACUGAUCAAACUUCCACAUAUGCAAUAGGCAUCUGUGUUUGAGGACUUGAAAGCUACCCAGUGCCCAAGCAACCGAAGCAGAAUCUACGAAAGGUUACAGAUGUGUAAUUUUCCAAUCGAAACAGAAUCUUCGAUUUCGUAAAAUAAAUUUAUCGUGUUUUCAUGGUACUCGAUUAGAGAUGUCCCAUCGAGUCGCUUCCCUUGAAGCACUCUAGAGAGAUAAGAAUAUCACAGCAUCAAUUACUUCAGGUGGUCAGGACAAGAACUAACGAGUUCUCAGAUUCUUGAAGCAUGGCAAACACAAAACCAAAAGGUCAAACACUAUAUACUUUCAUAACUAGUCAGCUUGGCUCACUUUAGAACGUGGUUCCAUCAUUUGUAAGAAAGUUUUGCUAUAAUGUGGACAAAAGAAAUUUGUCCAGUCAUCAACUUGCAGUUUUGGAUGUUUGCUGACGAGAAGCAGUAGUAUUCUCAGUGGCAGUUGCAUUCAACCUUGCACGUAGAGACCUGGGAUUGUUGUUGUUUUCGUUCUUCUUCACAUUUCUGCCGCUGUUCUUGCUUGCACUUCUCUCAAUCAUAUGUGGAGUAGUAAUCUUCACCAUUGAAGGAUCCUGAAUCUCCAGUUCUGACGGUUGAGAAUCCGUCAAUGGAACCUGUGGAGAAUCAUUCCAAUUAGGAACCAUUUCUGACUACAGAAAACCGGAACAAUGGCUCGCAAAGGAUAAAACUUUGAACCUUGUGAAGUUGGUUCUUGGGUGUUACUAUUUGCUUGUAGAAUCCUGGUAAUGGCCUGGCCUUGAAGCAAAGGCUCUGCCGGAACUUCUUAAUCUCUGUUUCUGCCUUUUCCUACGUAGAAUUAGAAUGAACAUUAGACAAGAUCAAACAUUCUUGUUAAUUAAUGCAAUCAUGGUAAUGUAAGUGUAAAACUAACUAACCUUGAUUGUUGCUUGUAACUGAACUUUCUGUUCUUGUUUAGCAUUGAACUUCUCUUCUAGCUUCUGUAAGAAAACCAAGAAAUUCAUUCAAAGCCUUAUGAUUAUUAAACUUCAUUCAUACCAAUAUUUUCAUCGAUGGCUCGCUCUAUCACCUUUUUCCGCCUUGUAGCUCUUUCUUCUGUUCUGAAAGGUGCGGUAAAACUUGGUGAGUCCUGGGAUUUGUUUCUGCUGCCACUCAUGAACUUGGAGCAACUAUCAUGAACAGGAAAAGGAAAUAUGUUAUGUUGUUAAUGUCUGUUUAAUUAACGAGUCAGGGUUGGAUUCUUGGCUGGAAUUCUUAUUACUCUGUAGGGAGGAAAUGCCACCUUGGCCUAACUGGCUUGCUUUCAGUGGUUGCUGCCGAUGGAUGAAGAGGUGUUCUUGCCCUGCAAAUGACUCUCAAAAACUCAAGUGAGGAUCCAUCCAUGCCAAGUAUGUUUUGUCACAAGUGGAAACUAGGAAAGACAAAACGGGACGAAUAUCUCAAAUUUUGUACUCGUUGUCAGUGGCGGAUACAGGGGACUCCACUUGAAGUAUAGAUUAUUUAAAAAUCAUGUGUAGUUGUAUGCUAUUGUCAGGAUUCGAAUUUCGGACUCCACAAGAAACUUAGUAUAACGUGUCGAAAACAUGUCAGAUCAGGUCGGCUAGGCACACAGGCAAAUCUAAUGUGCUCAAGUUAGUGCAAAUGUCUGAAAACAGCAGAUCAGAAGAUACACACACCUCCAGGUUUCGGACUGAGGAGUCAUUUGAGGAUGCCUGGAUUCGUCUGUUCUACAUGCCUACCAAAUUACACAAGUUUUAGUAAAAAGAAAGCAUAUAUUUUGUGAAGCAGCAUGGUCAAGAAAGUAAACUUACCACAGUUGGAGUUCUUAGAGGGGUAAUUGAGGAGAAAUCCUUGGCAGCCUUAUAAGAAGCUCUAGAGCAACCAUCGAUCUUCCUGAUAAUGGUGGAAGUUAGUCUGUUGAUUUCCCUCACUGGAGUGAAGUUCAUUGAUGCCUUGUUGCAGCUGUGAGUUGAUUUUGGCGUCGAUCUCUUGCUCAUUGGAGUAGCAGCUACAGGGCAUUUAGCCGCCGGUGAAGAAAAAGCUGCAACUUUGGAUGAUGAUGAUGAAGCUGCUGCCUUACCAAAAACCAGAGUCCUUGAGAAAGAAACUGAAGGCUUCCUCUUCAUCAUCAUUGAGGAGUCUGAAUCGUUAGCCAUGAAAUCCUGCAACAUAUUGGCCACAAUGCGGUCUAGUUUUAGUAACCAUUUCAGGAGAGGAACUAGGAUUCAAAGAUGCACUGAGCCGAAUUCGGGAAAAUAAUAGCUUCUAAAACAUGUACAUAAUAUACUACUUGCUUUAAUAUGUUGUAUUAUUUGUUACAAAAUCACUCAAACAGAUAUUAUAUUUGUUCCUAAAGUGUUAGCAAUAUUUUUUAUCAAAUGAAAAUUAAAAUGUGAUGACUGAGCCGACUGAUCUAAUCUAAUAUAGGACUGACCUUCUGUACUUGAAAAAUUUGUACAAAGACAUGGUCUAGAUUUUACCUUCAACAAUGGCUUUUCCAUUUGUUUGUGAACUGAAUUCUCAGCAUCUUUAGUACCAUCUUCUUCAACCUUGCUAUCAACAGCUUCAUCAACCUGGCUCAAAGCCUCCACCUUUACGCAACUAAACUCAACAUCUUGCUUAUCUGGUGAUGGGUUUGAUUCAUCUUCCAUAUUGGGUUCGGAUUCCACACAAUUUGUUUCCGCAACAGCAGCGGCGGCAGCCGCUGCCUCUUCUGCUGCUUUGGCAGCAGCAGCAGCCGCCUUUUUUGCAGCAAGAUCUCUGUAAUGAGCCUCAAAGAAAGCUUUUUUCUCAGCAACAGAGCCAGGGCGGGAGAAUUUCUCAGCCUCCUCGACAUAUUUGUUGCUAGAAGAGAAAGAUGACCAUUUCUCCCAUGACAGUGACUCCGACUUAAACCUCCCAAAUGAAACUGAUUCGUUAGAAAUGCCUGCGGCGUAGGAGAAGGGUUGUUGGUGGUGGUGGUGGAGGAUGAGACAAGUAGCAGUUUCCCCCAUGAUGUCUCUCUGUGGAUCUUUGGAAACCUCGAACUUGUCUUAAUGUUUGGAACCUGUUUUAAUUGUUUUUAUGUUUUGCUUUCUUGUUGCGGUAACAAUGUUUGGGUAGCUAGCCGUUUGAAUUUGAAUUUCAAACGGUAAAGAAAGGAAGAAAGUAAAAGGGUGCAUCGGGUUUAGGCCUGGAGGGGUCCAUUGGAGGAAAAAAGGUUGAUGUUGUAAGUUAUCUUUUUUGUUUUGUUUAUUCAACCAAAGAGAGUGUGAGCUCUGAACUCUGAAGUUUGGAAUUUGGAUUGGAAACAAAGGUCUGAUUCUGCAGUGUGUUACGCUUUUGUUUUUCAAAAAUUGAAAGAAAAGUCAUAAACAAUAUUCCUCAAUCGUGUUACGUGGUGACAUUAUAAAUUAGUGAUUCUCAUAUAUCAAGUUCAAAUUUAAAUUAAUCACAUACUACCAUAUAAAAAGUUAAAAAAUUAGUACAAUAAAAAGUUAAAUACUGAAUGUAAUAUUUAUAUACUUUUUAUUUUAUACUCACUAAAAAUUAGUUUGGUUAUGUGGUUAACCGCUAAUCACAUGACAUGAAGUUAGUAGUUAGUGGUUAACCACACAAUAAUGCGAUAUGAUUAGCAAUGAGUGAUUUGGUUUAAAUGAGAUAGUUUAGUUGGUAAAGUUCUCUAUCAAUGAUUUAGAGGUAUUGGGUUCGAAUCUGAUCAUCUGUCACAAAUUGACACUUAUGUGAUGUUUUUUUUCUUCUAUCUUAUCAAAAUCACUUACAGUGGCAGCUUAUCCUCAUUUGCAUUUGUCGGUGGUCCCGCGUUAUGCUAAUAAAGUUGAUCAUAGCUAGGCAAACUCUUUCAUAUCUUUUGAGCGGUGUUGAAGCCGAUCUCACAAUUUAGGUAGAUACUUAUUAGUUUAUCUUUCUUGUAGACUAUCUCGAUUCCUCCCCGUUGAGAACUAUCUGUGCAAAGAAAUCCGUUAACGAUUUGACUAAAAUUGCAGUUCGGUUAACCCUCACAGUUUCGUUACUCAUUAAUCAAAGUUAGUAUUUACGUAUCGAUGUGUUUGCCGCCUCAAAUGUAGUGACCAAUCGAUAAGUUUUCAUUACCUUGACCGCCGGCUCUCGCUUUUUUUUUUUUUUCUUUUUUUCUCUUCUUCUGUACUAUUACAAAACAAUCCAAAACCGACCAACAUCACAAUCGAUAGGUAAUAAGAAAAAUUUAGGAUCUUUAACUCUUCAAACCGGUGGGUCUUCUACGGAGAAGAAAAAUGCCCAGAUAGAGAUGGCAAUUUUCGCAUCAAGAUUCUGCAUUUUAUUUAUCUUUCUCUGUAUUGCAAUCUCUUUGCAAUCGAGGAACUGUCAUUCUUUCUCUGCUGCUGUAUUUCAGGUACUGAGCUUUAUUUCAAACUUCUGAUUUCGUUUUUGUAUCUUGCUCCAGAAUUUGUGCUGAAUUGUGUGCUCUAUUGAUCCAGGGUAAUCAAGGAUCUUCUGUCCCAAGGUAAAAACAUGGUGUAGAUGGCUGGAAUUUUCUCAUAUUUCGCAUUUGGAUUUUGAUUUUUAAGUCUUAGGGUAUUGGUAACUGAUUUUGAUAGCUUUUAGCUUUACCUUCUGCAAAAGCUUAAUCUUUACACAAAUUCGAUGCUAUGUAGAACCCUAGAUGAGGAAAAGGGGAAUGCUCAUGAGGUGCAUUGUUCAAGAGAGAGGAGUAGGGCAGCCUGGAAAAUUGUUGAACAGGUAUUUCGAUUCGAAUUGGAAUCGGAUAAUAUGCUGCUGCAAUUUCUAUGAUCUUCACCAAUUGUUCUUAUUUGAUGGUUGGUUUUUGUUUCAGUACUUAAUGCCCUUUGUUGAGAAAGAAAAACACAGCAUGUCAAAGAAGUGUCCACUUCACCCUGAGAAUGAUCUCUACCGUCUGCAAGAGAAGAACAAGAUCCGGGAAGACGUAAACCUAUGGCGAUGUGGCUACUGCAAGAAGACGCUAUACGAAGAAAAAAAACUCGACAAGCAUCUUGAUGAAUGGCACUUUGAUGUUCUAGAUGUGGUAUGAUUUUGCUCUUUUGCUCGCGAUGAAUUCUUUACUAAAUCAAGCCUGACUAAACUUUCUUAUGGACACAAUUUCAUUAGUACUCAUUCAUCUGUUUGAGGGACGGCUCUAGGCACUUAGAUUGAGAUAGUUAUGAUCCAUCAAACUCGAUCCAUUAAUCUUCCUACUCAGGGUCCCGGCAGGUGCUUGGCAGAUUCGUGUGGCGCAUUACAUUGUGACCUUGUGAUGGAUUCAACGCGCAAAACCAAGUGCAAUCCAGCAGCUGCUGCAAGGAAUAAACAUCUAUGUGAGGUGAUAUCCAUUCGCAUUUAUCAUCGUCUCCACCGCUUUACUGUUUGUGUCAAGUUGAUUCAUCUUACCGAUAAGAUAUGAUAUGCAGAGUUUGGCCGAUCGUUGCUUUCCGGUCAAUGAGGGUUCCUCAGCUCGUCGUCUUAAUGGUGAAAAUUUUGAACUGUUCUAUCUGUUCAUGUUAAUCAUAUUUUCAUAAGGUAAAGAUUCAUAAUAUCUUAAUCAAAAUCCUUCCUGGACGGACAGACCUUUUCUUACGGCAGUUUUGUGAUGCCCACACUUGCAAGGGAGGCCGGAAACCCUUCUCAAGAGGCGGCAAGGUAUACGAGUUUUCUUCGAGCGCUACGAGUUUCCUUCUAUUAUGAGAAGUACAGUUCAGUUUCCACUCUUAAGUCUCUAAAGCCUAUUUAAAACUUGGCUGAAUAGGAAAACUAGGGUGCUUGCUUUCUGAAGCUUAGUUGUCUAGUUGAUAUGGUGGAAAGUGGAUACAGUCAAACAAAGGCUGCAUAUCUUGUAAUGUGUAAGGUUUGACUUAGUUUUAUGUACUUGCAGAAGAAGAGAAACAUACUCUAUAUCGUAGCUUCGGUGCUGGUUUUGCUUUUGCUAUCGCUCUUCUACGGCUUCCUGUACUUGUAUCAGAGGUGGGUGGUUACUACUACUUAUAGGGUAGCUGAAUGAUGUCAAAUCUGUUUUGCCGGCAAAUGCUUCAUGGCUGUGAAAACUGUUAAUGGUUUGCAGGGGACUGAAAAGGGGAAGCAAAGGUAUGAAGCGCAUUAAGAAAACUGGACCGAAGAAACAGAGUUGAUUGCUUACUCAACACAUUUGUUCAUGAUGUUUGGUUUAGUUGGCUUGGCUUUAUGCCUGGAAAGCAUUUCCUUGAUUGCCAUGAAGUGAUUGUGUGACCAAUUUCCAUAUACAGAAAUACACAUGUGCGGAGUUAGUUCAAGGACACAGAAUUUCUCAUUAUCCUUGUACUUUUAGGAAAACAAUUUGAUCCCAUGGGUAGACUGAAAAAUGUUACAGACACUGCUGUUAUGUUGGUGGCUACCACUGUAAAAUCAAUGUUUGUGAAAUGAAAAGCGAUCAGAUAUCCAACCUGUGAGAUGCUAAAUGUUUAGUAUUUGAUUGUAUCUAUAUUCGGUUUGAUGGUAUCGAUAUUCGGUUCACAAACCAACUUGUGUUCUAGUUUGAUUAGGGGAUUGAGAGACAACAUGAAUACUAGCUUGACUGUAGGACUUGUGAAUAUUCCUAAUAGUAUGACUUGACUCAAAUACUCUACGCUCUAAAUCAUAUGUGACUUAAUUGAUGACUCAUAAAUAUGUUAUGUUACUUGCAAGACGGGGCAUAUAUUAUGUCGAUAUACUAAUUGGGGUCGAGCUGAGUAUGGCUUAUCAAGAAAUGUUAACGAACUGAGCUCGAGUAUGCAAGCUCCAAUGUUUAAAUUGGAUAAAAAAUUAAAGAAUUGAGUUUUGAACAUGGGUAAACUCAAUUCAACUGGACCCCUAUGCAUCCCCUAUCUAUCUAUUUAACUAGUACACUACAAAAUUUAUGUUGGAGUUUGGUGAUCCAAAUCUCUAAUGGUGUUAAAAGGUACUCGUUUGAGCUUUCGUCGCAGCCGUACUCCAAUCCAGUUAUUUUUUUUCUGCAUUGAUUUUCCAUGUAAAUAGUUCAUCUGCUGUAUCUUCCAAUCUAAUUUCCUUACCAUAAUUAUAUUGCUUGUCAGAUUUCUAUCAUUUAUAAUUUUACUUUACAAUUAAGCCUGCCAGUGGCUAAGAAUCUAAAUCUUGCAGGAUCCGGCGCUGUUUCAUGUUUAAGCAUGGGGGGCAUGCAUGUCCUGGUUAAGCAAGGAUUAGACAGAACCAGUUUAGUUAUGGGAGCACAGAACAAUGAAUCUAGUCUAGAACUAAGAGAUGAUGACUGUAUAUAAUAUAAAAUUUGCAGAAGUAUAUUACAAAACCACCCUCAUCAUUAGAUUGGCAACUACCGACUUUUAUUUAUAUUGUACCAGAACGAAGUUGAACUGAAGUACUUAAGUUAUAUGAUUGGAGGCAACCCUCUGUCUCUGCAUCAUACUUCAUAAAGAGAAGAAUCAUUUCACCAAAUCACUUUGAGAAACAAACAAAUUAAACUUCUCACUCUUCCAACCACUAACAAAAACAAAUGUGACUUGAAACAAGCUUAGAGAUCAAAGUUUUAUACCCUUUUGAGAUUAUCCAAACGAAAUCUCAAAAAUCGAACUCAUGUCAUUAUGGUUGACGAUACACUUGGCUAAAAAAAGGACCGCGGUUUAGUUCCAAUAUAAUAUUUAAUUCGAUUAUUCACGAAUUUGAAAUUGUUAUUAUUAGAUACGGUGAUCAGGUACGAUGUGAGAUAUGUAAUUUGUUCAAGUAGCGAAAGGAAAUGAUGUUGAUGGUGACGAUGGUUAGGAUGGAUGUCAGAAAAGCCAAAAUGCCUCGACCAAUCUAAUUGGAAAGGAACCACCUUUCCCCCUCACCUACUUGAUGUUUUAUUAUUUUGUUAAUUAAGUGCAACUUGGCUACUUAAUUAAUUUAUUUAUUAUAUGCUAAUUAUGAUGAUGGUGUCUCUAUCCAAUUUGAUUUUAUCAACACAAUUAUUUGGUAUUGGUUUUGAGUGGGUUCACGCUUCAAAUCCUCUUCAACUUGUUUUUUUUUUAAUGAUAGUCUUAGGUGUCAUUUAUGAUUUUGUAGGUGGCUAAGAAAUUGCUUCACACCCACUUAAUAGCUAAUUAAGGUGGCUUAAUAGCUUUGACAAUUGGUUUGGUCCAAAGUUAAUGAUUAAUAGUUGAACCAACCGGAUUAUAAAUAAAAAAAGUUGAACCAACCGAUGGAAUAUGAUAAGAAUUAAUAAUCUUGUUUACGAUUAACGUCAAAAUUUAAACUCUUUGAGCCAUUAUUUCAUAAUAGGAGCUCCUGAAAGAAUAUAACGUUUGCACAUGUUCGAUCAGUCUCGUGCAACGAAUUGUGGACUACUGUUUUGAGUUCGAAACUCUGAUAUUAAGUUAAAGGUUGUUGCAUUUCAGUAAAUAUUCGAAUUUUAACUAGAAGAUUGAACAUUGAUUUUAUAUUAUUUAUUAAUAUAGAGUAAAUUUUUCUAUAAGGCCAUCUCCAUCAAAAAACGUUUAGCAAUUUGUAAUAGAAACUUUCUCGUCAUCACUUUAGCAAUUGUUAAAAUUUUGGGAUGGACAUGCCCUAAAUUCAUUAAGUGCAUUGGUUUGAUCUCUAGCGACAGAUCCUUCAAAAUGGUGCAAUACACCAGGCCGAAUUGUAUAUGAGUUUAAAUUAAACCGUAUAUAAAAAAAAAUUAACCGAACUGAAACUAUAAAGAACAUUCCAUAAUAUCGAAUUUUAAUACAAAAAAGAUUGGGUCAAAACCUCUUUGAGACCCCUGUAUCCGGCGCUACCGAGCUAAUCUCAAUGUUUGACCAUUGAAUUUACCAAAUUUACAGUAAGCCAAUAAUUACAAGAAUAAAUAUAAAUUACAAUCGUCACCUCUUUCAGUUUUGGACCGUUGAUGUAGUGUUGAUAGAGGGAAGCGAGUUACUGGAGAGGCUAUUUAAUUUGGCAAUAAUGACAGCCUAAUCAGAGUCAAAGUCAACUGAGAUGAACGCGUGUUAAUUAUUUAGUUAUUAUAGUUAAUAGGGAUGAAAUAUAUAAUAAUAUAUCUGAAAUAAGUCCAAAUCCGCCAGACGAAUAUUUGCAAUAUAAUGUAAUUCCAUAAUUUUAUCAUAUAGGGGUUGUUUGGUAUGGGGGAAUGAAAAUGAAGGAAAUGUGGAAAUUGGGAAUUGAGGAAUCAGAGAUUGUGUAAUUCCAAUUACAUUGUUUAGUAACGAGGUUUGUAAUUCAAAUGCAAUUCUCAGUUUGUUAGAAAUUUAUUGUGCAAUGACCAUGAUGCCCUUAUUUGAAAUCCAAUUUCAAGACUCGUNNNNNNNNNNNNNNNNNNNNNNNNNNNNNNNNNNNNNNNNNNNNNNNNNNNNNNNNNNNNNNNNNNNNNNNNNNNNNNNNNNNNNNNNNNNNNNNNNNNNNNNNNNNNNNNNNNNNNNNNNNNNNNNNNNNNNNNNNNNNNNNNNNNNNNNNNNNNNNNNNNNNNNNNNNNNNNNNNNNNNNNNNNNNNNNNNNNNNNNNNNNNNNNNNNNNNNNNNNNNNNNNNNNNNNNNNNNNNNNNNNNNNNNNNNNNNNNNNNNNNNNNNNNNNNNNNNNNNNNNNNNNNNNNNNNNNNNNNNNNNNNNNNNNNNNNNNNNNNNNNNNNNNNNNNNNNNNNNNNNNNNNNNNNNNNNNNNNNNNNUCAUCAACACCAUGUAUUGAAAAAGGCACAUUUGAAAGGAAAUGUGGGGUCAGAGGAAAAGUGUUUUCGUAAAACACUGGCCAAUUAAAACUAAACAAACAAGUGUUUGUUUGUUACUCUGAGUUUUGACAAAAUCCUCAUAAUUUCCUCUAUACCAAACGAGACCAUAAUGUAAUUCCAUAAUUCCAUUGUAUUUAUUUCCAUCAUUUUAUCAUAAAAUUUAAUUUCAUAAUUGGAGUAAUCAGAGAAUUCAACCUCAGACUACUUAUGUAUCCUUAUACAAUCAUCUAACCAUCUCAAAUAGAUGAACUUUUUAAUCCUACUACGUAAAUACGAUAUAUUUAAACAAUCAAUCUAUGUUAAAAUUACUAAAAACGUUUCAUUCCAAAACCAAAAAUCUCUAAUUUCAUCGAUUUUCAUAUAAAGAAAGACCCCUUUAGACAAGUUCCGAAAUCAGCCCCCAGCCACAAGUCCGUAACGCAUAAUGCAACUUCAAGAAGGUGAGCCUCCCAUAAUAGAUGAAAUACGUUGCACAUACAUAUACCCAGAAUAAUUCAAUUAUAUUCAAGCUUGACUUUAAUUAAUCAUCGCCAAUUCGAAUAUAUUACUAAUCUUCAUUUAUUUUAUUAUAUUGAGAAUUAAAAUGGGAAAAUUAAUUGCUUAAAUGAUUGCUUCACAUCAGCCAAAUCCAAUUUACAAACACCACCCCCAACAACAAUCACUACCCAAUAUACGCCUUCGAUUUAUUAAAUAGUUUAAACAAGGGCAUAAUUUUUAUGAUAUUAUAACAUAUUAAUAAAGUACAAUUGUAGAAUUAUAUACAAUUGGCAUGAUUUUCCUGCCUCGUUUGGAAAUUGGAAGACAACUACAUAGACAAAGGUAAAGUCUCACUAAUCAAGUAUUAACAUCUCAUAAUCAACAAGCUUUAUUAGCUGUAUGUUUAGGUUGGUUGUCUUACAUGACUCUUUUGAUUUCUAUAUUUUGGUAGUCCUGACUGUUCGGGUGCCUGUAAUUGAAAUUUUCGGUAGGGUUUUUAGUAUGUUGACAUUGAAUGGGAUGUACAACUAAUCCUCUUUAGCUUGGCGAACACGAACACCUAAUGUGUCUCUUAAUAUCUAGGUGUGCGCGUGUUAUCGAGAUCCUCUGCUUCCUGUCUGCUUACAUGUCCUUGGAUUCACAUUCAAAUUGUUGGCCAUAGUGGGAAUAAAGCCGCUCAAUGGCACAAAAGGCUCUUUCAUAUUUUCCAAAUUGUAUAGAAGCCGAUCUUACAGUUUACUUUUCUUUUGUUCGUUUAGGAGCUAUCUAAGGUAAAAAAAACAUCACUAUUAUCUUAACAUUUCACUACUGUUAUGAAAAUUUGAUAUUAAGAAUUCGAGUUUUUUCCUCAUGAAUAAAAAUGUAUUAAGAUUUAUGUCAUUGGACAACAUCUAUGAAUGAUAAAAUAUAAUUCCGAGUAUUGUAUGAAGAGGAAUAAUCUCACUUUUAACUUAUAAGACAUAUUUUUAGAAUAUAAUGGAAGAAUUCUUGUAAAAAUCUGAAAAGUUUAUCGUUGUUCCGCAAAAAAUAAUACCGAAAUAUCGGUACAUCCUUUCGGGAAGUCACUCCCUUGCAGGUUUGCACCCUUUUAGGUGACCACUGUGGGCAACACAACCAUGAGAGUCCUUUUUUUCCUGUUCAUAAAGGGGCUGCAGAAUAUUCGAUGAGAGGAUUUUUUCCUUGACCUGUUACAAUGUUUAGAUAGAUGCAUGCAUGUCACUCAAAAUAAUACAAAUUAUUACAUUAUGCCACCAAGUGAUUGAUCAUCUUCAAUCUCUUGUCAGUGGAUUGCACGACUGUCUUUCUUUCUCCACUUUUAUUUUCUUAUUCAAUCCCCUAUUUAUCCUUUUUAGGAUUAUCCGCACGAUGUUGCGGAAAGUUAAUUAAAAUCCUCUCCCAAUAAUUUGAGUUAUUGUGAUGUAACGGUUCAUGACAUAGUAUCAAAACUUUUAAACCAAACAGGCGUAUGUUCGAAUCCCUAAAAUUCCCAAUAUUAACAAUUGAUUUAACUACAGGAUUGCUAGACGGUCUAAUUCCCACUUAUAUUUUCUUAACAAAUUCCCCUAUAUAUCCUCUUAACUAAACUUUUUCAACCUGAACUUCUGAGAAAUAAAGGAAAUCAUAUCGAUCCGUGCAUAAAUUUAGAUGAUUAAAAUGAUGUUUUCCGGUCAAAUAUUUGGGCCGGAUUAAGGUUGGAAUUCCGGACGUACGUUCCAAAUGCAAAAAAAUGGCGAAGUACAAUUAUGUCGGAAUUUGGGUCCAAUUUUAACCGAUUAUGACUCUUCAAUUCCAACUAAUUUCGACUUUACAAUUUUGUUAUAAUCUCGACGGAAUUACAAUCAACUCCAACUUCAAUGCAAAUUCUCACAGAAUUGAUAAUUGAAGAGGAAUUUUUAGUAAAAAAACUAAGCCUAAGUUGCAAAAUGUACCUGGGACUCCAGUUUCCCUUGAUUCUUGAUUGAUUUUUUCAUGUAGGGAAUCAAAGGAGUUGUGUCUGCUAGUUGAAAAUUUGUCUCUUUGGUAAAAGUCUUUCUGCAGAAAGUUCGUGAAGUACGUAGAACAAAUAGAGAAGAUUCUCAGUCAUUUUCAAGACAAGAAAGUGAGGUUCGUAUAUGAUGAGAUGAUGAAAAGCAUCAAAGGAAUAUAUGUCAUAUACAUAGAGUUUGUUAGGAGGAAACUUGAUUAGAGAAGCGUGACGGAUCUUCCUCCACGAUCAAACGUUUCUAUCAUGUAAAUCAUAAUGAAAUUUAAAUAGAUCGAUAACGGAUAAGAUUAAAUGAAAUUGUUGCAUCGUUGCAGAGAGAUGAUGCUCUGCCUCAGUCUUCUCGGCAUAAAAAAAACAAACUGCACAAUGGAAGUUAGCUUGCGCAUAUACUCUUUUUUGCACCCUCUUUGCGACAUACCACAAAAACUCUUAACAGCAUAACGCUCAUUUUAUCUAAAUGUGAAGAAGUGAAACUCUGUUUUUAUUUUUAUUGAUACGAGACGUCAAUACAAAAUUUGUGGUUUUAGAACAGUAAGGAUACGAGGGAUCGACGGUUAUGUGGUCACCGAUAUAUAGCCUCAAACAACUCAAUCACAAUCAAUCGUACAAAUGAUGUGCUUAUCUCUGAAUCAAUCUUUGUGUUUUUAAAUGUGGAUGAAGAAAUAAAAACAAACUGAUUUGUUGUUAUUACAGUAAUGUCCAUUUCCCAUGAAGGAAAAAAUCAUCGUCUAGGUUACCAUUCAUGAAACCAUCAUCCCAAGAGAACAUUGAUGAGUCUACCCCAUCAACCCAUUGUUUCAAAGUAUCAUAAUCGUCAAAUUGAGUGUUCGAGACUACUACCGGUUCGUGAUUGAUACCUCGAUGAUAAUUGUAGUUAUUAUUCGAAUUCGAUUCCUCAAUCGAUGAUGAUAUUGUCGAACCCUGAGAAGUAGUACUUGUGUUACUACUUUUAUUAUGUCCCCCAAAGUACUCCAAGCUGCUUCCACCAAACACUUGAUAGUCCCUCCUCAGUGGAUCAUCAUUAUCAUCAUUAAUAGUUGUAAUUUCGUCCAAUUUUGUCGUCAUCGUCGAUAACUCUAAUUCCUCUUCUAGCUUCUGCUUCUUCUGAUCAUCCCGAUCACCACCCUUUGUGUUAGUGUUAUCGAGAAUCGGUUGGUGGGUGACAGGGUCUACUCCAGCCAACUUAAGUUUCCUCUUUAUCCUAGUGUUCCAAUGAUUUUUGAUCUCGUUGUCCGUCCUUCCAGGUAAAUGCGAGGCAAUCUUUGACCACCUAUAUAUGCAAACAAUUAAUAUGAGUCAUUAUUAAUGUUAAUCUUCCUAUUAAUUAAUUAAUUGCUUAAUCUCAUUAUUGUUCAAACUUCAAACGCCCUUAAUUAGCUAGUUUGAUGAGUUAUUAUAUUAAUGAAUAAUAUAAAUAUCAAUCUCAAUCCUCUCCCAACAACCCGAACGAUUCGUAACAAGUGAAUGGUAAGUACCUGUUUCCAAGGCGGCAAUGGAGCUGAAUCAUCUGAUUCUCCUCAGCUUCAGUGAAAGCACCUCUCUUAAGAUCUGGCCUCAAGUAAUUAAUCCAUCUCAACCUACAACUCUUCCCGCACCUUAGCAAACCUGCCAUACAUUACAAAAAUUCGGAUCAAAUUAGUGAAACAAUUACUAAAUGCUUAUAAAGAGAGAAGCUUUGUUUGUCGACGAGCAAGUAGAGGCAAACCACUUCGACUCUUUUAAAUCGUCGUUGAUUUAGAGCACACGACUGAUGAGUUCAAUGGAUGCUAAUUACCUGCAAGCUUAGGGACCAUUCUCCAGCAAUGGAUGCCAUUGUUGAGGAUGAAGUUCAUGAGCUUGUGGUCUUCUUCAAUGGUCCAUGGACCUCUCUUCAAUCCAACCUUUUCACAACAGGGUUGUCUUCCCAUGGCUUUAACUGUUUGCUGCAGCUAGAGAGAAAUAAUGAAGGAGCUAGGAAUCAAGAGGAAAUGGCUCAACCAAGGGAUUUGCAGCUUUUUAUAUACAGGGUACUGGGAACUUAUAAUGGGAGCAAAAGAGAUGCUGCCAGUUCAUGCAGACAAAAUUAUAACCAAUGGAAGGAUGCAUCAGGGAGCACAAAUGAUUGGUUGGUUUAGAGCAAAUUAUAAAUAUUUAUCUUGCCAAUGGAUAUUGAUUAUAUGCAAUUACUCUAAUUUUUUUCCAUUAUUUAAAUUGGGGAGUUGGUUUUGGUAUAUUUAUUCAACAUCUGAGUUAUAUACAAGUUGCGGGAGACCAUAAAUCCGAGGAAUGAUUCAAGCGGCUAUAAAAUCGCGGUCAAUAUGAGACAUGUUUUUAUUAUAAAAACAAAGACAACGGAAAUUCACAAUCGAAAAGUCAGGUUUGGAUCGAAAUAUGUACGGAACAUCACAUAUGAUUACUGCCGUAUUGAAUACAAUGAAAGGAGUCGAGUUUUGUUAUGAAACACACAGACGUGGAUCUGUCUUGGUUGACAAAUAAUAUUUGGGAAAGUCGUGGUUAUAGAAUUGAAUAUUAUAAACGUAACACAGGCAAAAAGACGACAAUUAAUUAAGGACUUGGUAAAGAUUCCUUCCAAAAGCUUAAGCUGGCCUUCUUUUUGUCGUUGGAACCUAAUGAACUAACUCCCCUUAUUAUAUAAUAUCUCCUCACCCUCGUCAUCUUUUCUUCUCAACUCUCAACUCCGUCAGCAAUCGGCUAAUUUAAAACCAGUUGUAACUGAUUCAGUAUAGCUUGGGUGAAAAGUUAUUUGAAAAUUUCGGUACAACUCGACUCUCGUUGUGCCAUACAGUUGAUAUGUCAGGCGAUAUGGAUGAUUCAUCAGUUUUUUGCUAUUGUGAACUAAACUAGUAUUUCUCACUCCGUUAGUUUGAAUUAUUACCAUGUUCAUGAAUUGAUGCAGAGGGCGUAAGAGAUCAAAUUUCUUCAUAUUUAUAGAGAAGGCAAUCAAUAUACAGCAGAUUAUAUAAUUUUGUUAGUAUUGGACACCAGAUAUCCUUGGGCAUAUAAUUUUUUCUAUUUAUGAUCCAUUAUUGUUGUUGAAAUAUUAAUCCUGAUAUGAUGUACAUGGUGUCUCGAAAAACAGACUAAUUAUGAAUGAAGGUUAGUUACAAUAAGCCUAAAGUGAACCUGACUAUUCAUUAUUGUCACUGAUCAUUUUUGUUUUUUAUAUAUAAUUAGGAUAUUUAACAUCAAUAACAAUAAUAAAUUAUUUCGUCACGAAUGCUCGCAUAAGAUGACAAACAAAUGAUGAUAAAGUGAUGGCGCAAGAAUCAAAUCUCCUAAUCUCAUAGUCACUUCAUCUUUGUUUGGGUUAAGGGAAUCGUUGCUACAGAGGCCGCUGCCACAGCCCACGGGGAUACGAAGGCAGGAAUUGUUGGAUCUAAAAAGUCUUACAGGAUGGGCUUUAGGUUUAAUUCUUUUGAGCCCAUUUACAUUAAUGGAUUGUACCGAACAGCCCAGCCCAAUGACUCUAUUCAAGACGAGGUGGCAGACAGAAGAAGGUGGAGCCGAGGAAGAAUUUGAUAGGGUGGGAAGUGGCCCACGUUAGGUGCAAGUACGACACUUCUAUUUAUUAGAUUAUCCCUCUGUACCUAAUCUGAUUUGGCCGCUUAUGGUAUUGGGUUAGUCGGAUUACGAACACAAACUUGAUUCUUAUUAUGCUAAUAAUAAUAUGAGAGAUCGAAAUAAGAAAUAUUAAAGUAUUUUACGGCCAAAAAGAAAGCGAUUGUUAAAAAUGUUGACAAGUGUGAUGUUGUCUGAAAAGAUAGUCGCCGGUUCCAAACUUGUAAUUGCUACAUUUGUAGCUUCCAUAAUUGCUCUUACUUCCACACCAAUUAUUGAGGGCAUAAACAGGUAAAAGACAUACUCCAAAACUAAAAAGAGUGACCAUGAUGAGCAAAACAAUCCGCUAUACGAUUUCCCUUACAUAAAGUAAGAGCGGCACAUUUAAUAAUGUAAGUUAGGACCUCGUUCGGUACGAGAUAUCAAAAAUUGAAACUGAAGUUGCCAUAACUCACCGUAAUUCCUGAAUCAAAUAAUUCACCUUCCAUUUAAAUUAAGAAAUAGUUUCCAAUCUUGUACACGCACACAAAAAGUAACCCAAUCGAAUCUUCAAUCAACUCACCACAUUUGUAGAUACAUGUCUUUUCCCACUCCCCCUAUCAAACAAAUGGCAGGCCAUUGUAAGUCGGAUACAACGUCCCACACCCGAUCGCUACCCGGCCGCCACCACCAUUGGCCGACGACGCCAUUCAAUUUUUUUAUACAAUUUUUUUUAUAAAAAUAAUACCGUUACCAUUACACUACAAAGUCGCCGUUCAAUGGUAACGAUAUUAAAAGACGACGGUGUUUUAAUACCGCCGCCAUUGAAUGGUGACUAUGUAGUGUACACCAUCGCCAUUGAAUGGCGAUAAUAUUAAAAAAAAUUUGAAAAAUUUGUGUAUUUUAAUCCGUACAUUAAGAAUAUUAAUUAUCAAAAUUAAAAUUUCGAACUAUAUAAUAUGUACAUUAUAUUAAAUAUUAAUCAUAAUAUUUUUUAUUUAAAAUUUGUAUUUAUGUAUUUCAAUACCUUAAACCCUAACCGCUAAACUCUAAACCUUAAACUCUAAAUACUAUCUCUACAUUUAACCACUAAACCCUAAUCUCUAAACCCUAACCCUAAAUCUCAAACUUUAAGCCCUAUCUCCAAACGACAAUUUUUUAUUUUUAUUUUUAAUUUCGUACCUCAACAACAACCAUAUAUAACAAUAAAUUUUAAUUUUAGAAGGAUUGAAGUUAUUUCAUACCACAAAUUUAAAUAUUAAAACGUUGAACCAUAAAAAGCAUGUCGUUUUGUAGCAACCCCUUUUUCAUUCUCCCCCCUUUCACUUUUCUCAGACACCGAUCACCAAGCCAUCUCUUCAUUCUUUCACUCAACCCCCAAUAAUUAAUUAAUUCUCCACAGUAUAUUAGUUUCAAUGACAAUAAGCAAUAGAAUCUAGCAAAGCUAUGAAGGAUCACCGGCGGAGGCGUGACGUCAUCUGCAGCAGGUUUUUCUGGUGCACUCUCUUCUUCGUCGUUUCCUGCGUCCUCUUGACCGGAUUCAAUUUCUCCUCCUCCUCCCGCUUUCUCUUCUCCCUUCCUACUGGUAAAUUUUAAAUUUCGAUUCUACUACUGUUCGAUUAAUUCCCCUUUCAAUUUGAUUUUCAAAUCGACUUUUCUACCUUUCUCUUCCAGCAGAAAGGCUGCACCCGGAGAUAUUGCCCAGAUGGCGGACUAUGGACGCCGUCUCCGCGGCCGAUUUAUCUAAUCGGAAGUUGGACCCCAACAGCAAGAUAUCGAUUCGGGACGCCGUUAUCUUUCCUGACCAAGUUCUUAUAUUCCUAAACUACCCUCACUCCUCCACGUCAGCUCGAUUGUCGUUGACUCGAGACGACGUCCUCGACUGCGUUUACUUGAACUCAUCUUCCUCCUCGCGGAGGAUACACCGCCAGCCGCCGUACCGCGUGGACUGCGACAUCGUGCGGUGUCCGCUGGAUCCACGUGGCGCGAUCGUGUCUUCCCUCUCUUUGAAAUCAUACGGCGGAAGUGGGGUUUUGCUGCCUGCGGUCCCCGCUCGUACGUGGCGCACGCUGGUUUAUGAAGCUAUAUUCGACCGCGACAAUACUACGGUGGUCUUCGUGAAGGGGCUCAAUCUACGGCCCGAUAAGCUCUACGAUGGCAACAGGUUUGAGUGCGUGUUCGGCUGGGAUUCCCGGCGGCCCCGGUUGAAUUUACGAUCCGAAGUCAUCUCCAUCGCUCAAGAGAUCGUACGGUGCGAAACGCCUCUCAGCCUCCUCUCCUCCGUCACGUCAUUCAACGGUUCGGUCAAGGUAUCGAUUCGGGUUAAAGGCAGGGGAACGUUCCGUUCAGUAGCCCGCCCCAAACCCCUACCAGAACCCGACUCGCAAAACACAACCAAACCGAAUCAAUUAUGCAUAUGCACUAUGAUCAGGAAUCAGGCGAGAUUCAUGAAAGAAUGGGUGAUGUACCACGGCGAAAUGGGAGUUGAGAAAUGGUUCAUCUAUGACAACAACAGUGACGACGAUCUCAAAUCAACGAUCGGGUCGUUAUCCGAUUCCAGGUUCAACAUUACCCGACACAUCUGGCCGUGGGUGAAAAGCCAAGAAGCCGGGUUCGCUCACUGCGCGAUUCGAGCACGGCCGUGGUGCGAAUGGGUUGGAUUCAUCGAUGUGGAUGAGUUCCUCAACGUCCCCUCGGGUCAAUCAUUAUCGGAGGCUUUGAAGAACCAAACCGAAACUGUUUCUUAUCGAGUAGGGGAAAUUCGGGUUCCCUGCCACAGUUUCGGUCCAUCCGGGUUGACCCGGGUCCCGACCCAAGGCGUGAUAGCCGGGUACACAUGCCGGCUGGUAUGGCCGGAGAGGCACAAGAGCAUAGUGAGACCGGAGGCGUUGAACUCGUCGCUAAUCAAUGUGGUGCACCAUUUCCAUCUCCGGGAAGGAUUCGGACACUUGGAUGUGGAUCGAGGGUGGAUGGUCAUCAAUCACUACAAGUACCAAGUGUGGGAAGUGUUCAAGGAGAAGUUCUACAGGAGAGUGGCGACUUAUGUGGCCGACUGGCAGGAUGAAUUGAAUGUCGGGUCGAAAGAUCGAGCCCCCGGAUUGGGGACGAAGGCGGUGGAGCCGGCGGAUUGGUCGAGUAGGUUCUGUGAGGUGAAUGACACAGGGCUGAAGGAUUUUGUUAUGCGGAGGUUUUCGGACCCGUUGACACAGGUUCUGCCGUGGGAGGAGGAUGGAGCUGAAAAGAUGAGGCAUGGAGGAGAGUUUUGGUAAAGAGUAUUAUUAGAUAGAUAGAUUAUAUUUGAUAAACAUCAGUGGAUAAUUUUUGGCUAAUCCCUUUGUGGGUUUGUACAGUAUGGAUAAUUAAUUUUUGGCUAAUCUCCUAAUAAACCAGUGAUAAUGAUUAUAUUAAUGGUUUUCUGUAACAUCGGCCUCGGGAUCGGGGACUGCACUUCCUUAUAGUUAUGAAGAUAACUAGUCGCCCUGUCCACAAUCUCACACUCUUGUAAACGGAAACCAAAUGAGAAUGACCCAUUUUUCCAGAACCAAGUCUGCGGCAGAAACUCUAACUGAAUCAAACCAGUCAAGACAGUUUUCGAUACGGCCAAAAUCAAAGCAAUCCUUGACCUCCGAAGAAAGCCAGAUCCGCCUACUCCACUGACAAUCACGAAAAAUAUGUAUUUGAGAUUCCGGAAGGCCAUAAAAGGGGCAGAGAUCUCCACAGCUCGGCAGUCGACGACACAAUUUCCAUUACAGUUCAUCGAGGUAGCAGGUACAGUUGGCUGCACAAUCACCUUUUCUUCUUGUAGUAAAGCAUCAAAUCUGUUUCCACCAUUGUCUCGAGGCACUUGGCUUUGUGAGACCUUCCUAGAGGUAGUAUUGUCAUGACGAUUCUUUAUUCUUUGAUAAUAUAGUUGCUUCAUAGAAUUUUCCUUCAUCCAUCCACCAUAUGCUUGUUUAUCAGUAGGAUCCCCCACCACCGCUAAGUCAACCAUCUCUGUCUUCUCAGCCUUUGGUUCAUCAGGGGUACUUCAUUUGCAGCGGUGCGUUGGUAGCCCAUAUUUACCACAAGUAGUGCAGAGAUUCUCCAAACCUUCAUAGGAAACAAAAUACUUCACACCCUCAAUUUUAUACUUGGAUCCGAGAGGUUGAGUUAAAUCCACCUCAACACACACUAGCAAACUUUCCACGUGCUGCCUCUUCCGUAGCCCUAUCAAGCCUAACAGGUUGUCCAAUGCAUCGAGCAAUUCUCUUACCAGCCACCGGAUUAUAAAAUUCAAUUGAUAAGUUCGGCAAUUGUACCCAAACCAUAGCUUUCGUCACCUCGAUUGUCCAAGGGUUAAAGCCGUUAUACCACUGUUGAACAGUAAGAUAAGUGUCUCCCAGCAUCCAUGGACCUCCUGUGAUCGCCCAUUCAUAGUCUUGUUUGCUUUUGAAUCUGACCAGGUAACACCCAUUUUGGAGAUCCGAGAUUUGGAGAGGGCCGUCCCUUGCCCAUGAGUAAUGCAGACGCGGUGCCAAAGCUGAAAACGGGACACUUUGCCCUAGUCCCUUGACCACAAGGGCCAAUCUCUAAGCACUCCGAAAUGAAGCUUUUUCUGCAGCAGUAAACAGGAUAGGACAUAGCGGGUCCUCAGAAUCCUCAUCAAUUACAUCAUCUUCCUCUCGCAUAGCCGAAGCUACGUCCUCAAAAUCAGAAUCAGCAACAUUCCAUUCAUCCGCCCUUCAGCCUUCCUCAAACAGUUUAUCAAGACGUUGCGUCCACGCAUUUGGUGGAGCAGUCGAAUCCUUCAUUUGUUCAUCAUUCAUAUCCUUAUCAUCAGAAUCUAUAUGGGUGACGUCCUCAACAAGAACUUCCUCCAUGUUCAUAGAUUGAUUUAGAUCCAUCAGUUUCACUUUCUUCUUCACCUGUUGGGCGUCCCAAUCACCCUUCGCAGAAGGUGAUGCGGAGGCCUGGGAAGGCCGUCGGAUACCACUCACUGGAUCCGGCUCCUUGGAUUCCGCCGCCGGCGUCAUUCGUGCGCCGAUAUCGAGCAAAAAACUCUGAACAAACCCUUCCUACAAAGUCGGAGCAGUUUUUUUCUUUUUAAGAAUUACGAUUUUAAAAAUAACCUAAAUAGUACUAAUUCUAAAAUCCUGUUAGUGUUUAGGAUUAAGGGUAACAUUUUUAGGAAACGUGUUCAAUAUACAAAUUCGGGUUUAAGGUUCAGGGUUUAUAAUUUUUAGAAGUUAAGAGUUUAAAAAUCGCUUAAGUAAUAUUAGCCGAAAGCCUAAAGAGUUUAGAGUUAUGAGUUUAGGAUUAGAAUUUUUAAUGUUUAAGGUUAUAAUUUAGAAUGUAUGAUUUAGGGUGUAAAGUUAGAAUUUAGAGUUUAUGAUUUAUAAUUUAUGAUUUAUGGCUUGUUACACUAACACUAGUUUGUACCCGGAACCAUUUGGGAUAAACAGAGUCCCAAAAUAAGAUCCUUGUCGAAUAAAAUUUCCCAUCAGAUUCAAAAACAAGAAUUAAGGACCAAUGAUUAAGGAGGGUACACCCAACACCACUGCUCCUGCAACCACCUGAUUCCCACUCUCUUCCCGGCGGUUUCCGCAAAGAUAACACCAGCGAAUGCCUAUUCGGAUUUCAAAAUUUCGACCGUUGCGUUCACUUCGCAGAAUCCAGACGCCCUCGUUUCCUCUUAUCUGACCGGACCAUAGAAUCCGCAAAAAUGCCGGGGGAGGAUCCGACUCACAGUCCCCCAGAUCCGGCCGAGAACGGCGGUGCCGACCAGAACUUGGAGACCAUGUUCAGCCCGAGGUUCAAAUCUGUAGCCGCCAUGGCUGGGUGGGACGAAGAGUCCAUCCUAUUCGCCACCCUUAUCGUGGAAGACACUCCCGAUCGCGAUUUAAACCUCAGCAAAAGACGUGAUCCUCUUUUUAAGGCUCCUCCUCCUUCCUCCGAUUCCAAGAGGUACAUAAAUUAAAGAAAACCUUCUCGAUCUUUCUUUCUGGAUUUGAGCAAAAAAAUUCAAUUAGGGUUCUUGUGGGUUGGUUGUCAGGAAACGGAAUGGUCAGAGGAGGAAUCCCAUUCCAAUUCAUGUGCCUUUUCUUAAUCUCGACGACGAAGAGGAACCACCGCCCAUACAAGAAGGUAACUUUUUUAUUCUUGUGGUAAUUUAGGGUUCUAUCUUUUGAAAAAUGUGUCUGAUUGUGGGAAAUGGUUCGGCAGAGAAUAUCAAGAAGAAGAAGAAUGAGGCAAAAGUGGUUGUGACGGAAGAAGAAGAAGAAAAGAAAGUGUACAAGGAUGGAGUGAUUGGAGAAAGUUCAUGCUCAGAUGCUGCUGUUAUUCCUUGCUUGGACAAGCUUCGAGAAGAACUUUCUUGUGCUGUAAGGACCUCAAUCUAAUUUGAUUGUUCAUUGUCUUUGCUUUGAAAAAAAUGGUUAUUUGGAGAGUAAUGCUGUUUGUUUUUGUGUUUUGGUAGAUUUGUCUGGAGAUCUGCUUUGAACCUAGCACCACAUCUUGUGGACACAGGUAAAAAUGUUAUCCCAUUGCCCUGAUAUUCAUCACACUUGCUGGUUGCAAUUUCUAAGCAGGUUUUGGUUUUGUGUUUUUUUCUGGUUUGUAGUUUCUGUAAGAAAUGUUUGAGAUCAGCUGCUGACAAAUGCGGGAAGAAGUGUCCCAAAUGCAGACAACUAAUAAGGUGAACAGCUUGCAGAAACUUUACACCAUUUACUAGAGCUUUUUCUUUCCAAAUCUUGAUAAUCAAAUCUUUUCCUUGGAUGAAAAACUGCAGCAAUGGGAGAUCAUGCACAGUGAACACAGUUCUAUGGAACACAAUACAGCUUCUAUUUCCAAAAGAAGUGGAAGCAAGGAAGGUAGCCGAGGCCUCGGCCACUGUUGUCCGAAACAAAAGAGCCAACAAUCAUGAGAUAAGGAAGUUUAGUCGAGGCGGUGUUAAUCCUAGUGGACAAAGGAUUUCAACUUGGGUGCAGAAUCAGGAUCCUUCUGCAGUAUCCCAGAGGUUGCAUGAGGAUUCUGCAUUAGUUAGCAGUAGGGUUCAGAGAGUAGAGGCGGCAGCGAGUGGGAGAAGAAGAAGUAGAACUUCAAGAGCUGGAGAAGGGCAGAUGAUACCAAGCCGAGAUGGAGAUUCUGCUUUAGCCUUACGCCUUCAAAGGCAAGAGUUCAUUGAAGGGUUUAGCAGGGAAACUGAUCAAGGGUCAGCUGGAAGAGGAGGAUUGUCAAGGGCUAGAGCAAACUUGAGAGCCAUGGCAUCUAGAGCUGUAAGUGUUCGAUCCAGGGGUCAACUGUAUCCGUAAAAGUAAAAACUGCAACAAGUUCAUAGAUCUGCAGCAUCACUUCUGUAAUAUGUCGAAUGCAAUGUAGUCAAAAUCUCGAUAUUGAUCUUAAAAUUUUACAGUUUUAUAAUUUCAUUGGUCUCUGAAUGAACAGAUCGUCACAUUUAAUAUCGAAACACAGCUCGAAAAAACCGAUGUACAUCAACAGAAGUUCUAUACAGAGGAGGUCUGAGAAAGUAGCAGCUGGAACUGAGGAUCAGUGGUCUUGAGCAGAAGAGGAAGAGGCAUCGUCAUCAUCCCUCUCUCCAGAACCUGCAAGUACCUCGGCUUGAUCCGAUUCUCCAAACUAAACCCAAAAUAAUGCGGAAACGCCUUAAUCUCCUCCAAUCCUCUCCCUUCCAUCCCCCCAACAAAGAACUCAUACUUAGGCUUCAAAUUAUUCUCCACACUAAACGUCAACAACGACGGAAACCUCCUCACCAUCCCGAAAAUCUCGUCCUCCGUCAGUCCAAUCCCUUCCUCCAAGUACUUGAGUUUAGGAACCAGAGUAUUCUCCACGCUGGAGACUAACAGAACCGGAUCGGUGUAAAUUAGGGUUUCCAAUUGCCGCUGUUGGAACCCGAUCGUAUCCCUCAGGUAGGUUGAGUUAGGUCUGAGUUGGCGGUCAACGUCGGAAGUCAAAAUGCGGGGGCAUUUGGUGAUGAUUUUCCGGAAUUUGUAGUCGGGGACUUUGAGAUCGUCGGAGAGGAAGUAGAAGACAGGGGAGAGGUGUGAUGCGACGUCGGAAGUGAGGAGCUGAGGGCACAUUCCGAAGAUUCGAGGGAAGUCCUUGUGGUGGAUGCCUUUUGAGUGGAGGAAGGAGAUGAUAACGUGGAUUGAGUCGAGGGAAGCGGAGUGGAGGUCUGGGUUUUUGGAGAGGGCCUUGCCGGAGUCGACGCCCAUGAUUUCGAGGCAGAGGAUUUUCUCCUUGAUUUGGGUGGUGAGGUUUUUGUGGAGGAGUGGGUUGUUCAAGUGGAGGGUUUUGGUUUUGUUGUUGUUUGUUGGUUUGGCUGAGAGCUUUGUUGAAGAAAUGGUGUAUUGAUGGUGGUGUGGAUCUGCAGGAGCUUGUGAUGAUGCUGCAAUGGAGAAUGCAGAGUGUAACGACGACGACAUGGUGGAAUCGGAGAUGGUGAAGUUCUGUGUGUGUGGGGAAGUGAAGUUUCUUUUUGUGGUGGGAGGAAGGUGACACGUUGGCAGUAAGGUUGAAGAUGAUUGGGUGGUUGUGGAUAGCGUUUGCUGGGGUUGGAUCAAUGAAAUCCAGUUCACAGUUCAUGUUCAUCUUCGCUCUGCUCUGCAGCCACAGAACGAAAGCGAAAUAAAUAUGGUUUUUGUUUUUAUUCUGAGGUAACAUGUUUUGUUAUAUAGAAAAAGAAAACGAGAUACAAAAUAGGAGGGAUGCACUACAAAGGGAAAAGAGAUGAGUAGUGUUCGGAUAACUAAGAGUCUCAUGCGAAAUUAAACGGGCCGGUAAAGUUUUUCGAACGAGAAAUGUGAUGAGCGAGAUUGCAUCCACAGUGCGAAACAGGCUUCGGCACUCAAGCAACAGCUGACCAACCCUGAUGUUGUUAGAAGAUGAGGUGAUAUAUAAGUGGAACGGCCUCUAUUGAGUUAGAGAGAACCGUGAAGGAAUCCACGUACCAAACACUAGCCAUGUAUAACGCCUGCCUGAUUUGCGGGAAACUCUAGCACCAGUGGAUGGACCAAAUGUGGAAAAACCUAUUUCGUAGAUGAGAGAAAAUAGCUGCAAGCUUGAUGAAUGACCAGUCCAAUAACCCCAUAGCCAGGCAUGAAAAGACGUCUCACCGUUGCAUCCAUAUAGAUAGUCUAAGUAGUAUUUGACGGAAGCGAAAUAAAUAUGAUUAAUAUACAAAAAAAAAAGUUAUGAACGUUGAUUAAUCAGGAUUUAUGUUAGUAAUAUGUUGGUCAUUCGAGUUUUAGAUAGGUCACAUUGUGAUCAAUCAAGUUGUAAGUAGGUUUCAUUGUUUCGUCAAAAAAAGUUUUAAGUAAGCAACAAUUUGGUCACUCAAGUUUUAGGUGGGUGAUAUUUCAGUCACUCAAAUUAAAAUGUUAGGGAGGUAUUUCGGUCACUUAAGUAUUAAGUAACUAACAUUUUGGUCACCUAACUUUAGUUUUUAACAAAUCUCUAACUCUAGUUCUGAAUGGUAACAAAUCAAUGUUUCCAUUCACUUCAGUUCGAAAAAGUCGGUUCAAAGUCUGACGUGGCUGAUAAUUUUAAAUUGCCACCUCAAUAAACAGCAUAAUUUCAUUAUCCCCCGAUGAACCAUCCAACUGAAUUUACCGAGAGAAAAAAUCAACCUCAAUAAACCAAAAAGCUGAACCAACCCCCAUAAAUAUAAUUCCAACAAGGAAUAGAAUUAUCAACCCUCCAUGUACUGAUAGUAGAACAGUGGAUACUUAGCUUGUUCAAACAUUGUACUUCCCGUACUAUGUUACCCCCAAAACACAUAAUUACAUCAUCAAAUUAGCAUGCAUUUAUACGAUGAUGUGCACCGGAGUCUCACCGGAAAGCUCGCCGGUUGGUCACAGGGAAGACGUCGUCCGGUACUAAUUUGUCACAUUAAUUUGUCAGUACUAAUCUUUUAACAGUAGUAAUGUAUGUUUGUUCAAUAGAUGACUUAAAAUCUCCGGAGAAGAUCAACGAUCAUCUCGUUGAUGAUGGACUUGAUGUCAAGAGUGUGAAGAUGGUUAAACCCAAGUUCCCUCGUAGCAGGAUCUCCAAUACUUGCGAUGGUGUUCUUUAGUCAUAUGCAGAGGUAUAUAUAUAUAUGAUUUGCUUAGCUUGUUGCUUUUGGUUUGCUACUACAUUUUGUUUAGCUUCUAAUGGUUCUUUUCACUUACAUACGCAUGCAUGCAGAGUGUGGUGGAGGAGCGAGAUAAUAAAGGGAAUCUCCUCAGGAUGCUACGAGUGUAUUGUGGAAUUGUUAUCAAGGAUGGCGGAGUGGCUAUCAAGGCAUAACUUUUUAUUACUUACUUGUUAUUAAGGAAUAAUAGAAUUUGUUAAUCUUCUCAUUGCAACAAUCUUUUUGCUGAGAUGGUACUAUUUAUAUCUGUUAGUUACCAUGAAGGUCUGCUAAUCUGCUAUCUCAAUCUUUUUGCUGCAACAUAAAUUCCAACAAUAAGGAAUAGAUUGGUCAACCCUCCAUGUACUGAUUGUACGAUACUUGUUCAAACAUUGUACUUCCCCUACUGUCUUAGACCAAAGCACAAAAUUACAUCAUCAAAUAUUAACAAACCAAAAGGAAAGUCCAAAUCUGACUUUUCUUAGCAGAAAGUAUAAACUACUGAACAACCCGCCUGCUCCACGCCUCUUUUGAAUAGAACAACUCUCUUGAGAUUACAACACAGGAAUAUUAUGACUUCAUUCAUCACUCAUCACUCCUCCAAACCCUCUUUGUACCUUUCUAUAAGAACAUCUUUCUAUCUCCAUAAUGAAGCAGAACCAUCUCAAUUAUUAGUAAUGGCAGCAACCAGAUCAUCAAGCCAUCAGUUGCUUAUUAAGCUGGCUAUGGUUCUCGUGGCGGUUCUUCUUCUGUUAAUAGAGAUGUCUGAUGCACAUGAGGGUCAUGAUCAUGAACAUAUGUCUCCAUCUCCAAGUAUGGUUGUUGGCCAAUCUGCUGUUGGAAUCGGCUCUUCUCCCAACAUUCUUGCUGUCACAUUGGUCUGUUCCUCAGCUUUGGCUUUCUUCUUUUCUGGGUUUCACUAACUUCUGUCUUAUGAUGUGAUCAUGCGUCUGUGUAAUGAAUAAUAAGACCGGCAGGAGUUGUGUUGUGUUUUGUUGUUUGUCAGAUGCUCUGUUGGUUAGGUUUCACCGUAACCUUGUGAAUGUAUUCCAUCUAAUAAUGUGAUAUAAGAAUCACUAGAUCGUAUCUUUUGACAAUUCUGGAUAAGUUCAACCAAAAUCUACAGUGUACACACGCUACAAUGAUCGCUAAUUAGACUAAAACCCACCAUUCUCAACCAGAAUACAUACUACAGAAAACAUAAAAUUAGCAAAAGCAAAACGGGGAUCUAGUCAUACACCAGCAGAACACAUAAAAUUUCACGAUACAAACCUCUCUAACUAGUAUACACCAAAAAUUGGGAUUUCCACUGCACUCUGACUAUUAAUAUCACAACAGCAUCAAAAGCAUCAUCCCUUCCAUUUGGGACUCUACUACUUCAUCUCACGACCCGCCGGCAUCGUCAAGUCACAGUUCUCAGCCGCAGGCAAAUAUAUCACGAAUAAUGGGAAAGAACUUUCAUAAUCUUCAUCUGAAGAGUGUUCAGUGUCUAUGAGAAUGCUUUUUCCGGCCAAGACGCGAUGGCUCUCCAUUAUCCUUGCUCCUUUGAUGUAACAGCUUCACAGCAAAUGAUAAGAGCCCUAUGACUGCAAUUGGGUAGAAGACCUUAUAGGGAGCCAAUCCCAACCCAGCUAUAUAUGAAUAGAGACCGGCGAGAAGAUAGAUUGAAUCCAAUUUAACUUCCUUCCAUAUCACAAACGAAAGCAAGGAAUUGAAGUCGGGAUUCGAGCAAAAGACACCAUGGAGAACGACGCCGAUGCACAUGGUUGAAUCUAGGAACCAUGGGAAGCUAUGACCUGUGCCUAUUCUCUGCAACCACCAAACGUCAACAAUCGAAUCAGCAAUCAUUGUAACAAGUCGCUAUAUAUAUUCAGUUUGCGACCAAAUGUAGGUAAGGGUAAAUAUAAUGAUAUUGUUUAGCUGAUGCAUGGGAUUGAAUUAUGGAAAACUGAAGGCAAUUUGGUUCUUUGGCAACGGUGUGGCAGCAUCAAACGGAAAACUGACAGCAUCAGUUUCCGUAAUUAACCGAACUGGUAAACAACCAGGUUUAGGAACCAAGGUUGGUUUCCAUUUCCAAGAGAGUAACCGAUAACAGUUAAUCAAUAGCAGCUAAAAAUUGGUUUUGGUUUUACCUACUGCUAAGCCAAACUAGUUCACUAUUUCUAUUCAGGAAUAAUACUCAGUUGACCCUUCACAGUCUAAGAAAAUGAAGAUAGAUGCAAUAUUUUACCUGCACCCAAGCCACGAAAGAAGGGACAAACAUAAGAGCUGCCAUGAGAUGCAGAAUCAGCAACCCAUGUCGGUGAUGGAAGAUCUCUAAUUGCGUGUCACUGAAACUCUUUGAACUGUUUGGACUGUUGGAGCUAUUUUCUUCCAACAGUGCAGGAUUCUGGUUGACCCCAAUUUCAUGCUUUGUUGAAGGUGGCCAAGAACUUUCUUUAUCUUUGUCCUCAUAGCCAAGGAAAUCCUUCUUUCGUGUGUGGCUGCUGCGAAACGAAGCUGUCAAAAAACUGCUACAGAACACGAUGUCUUAGAUGGAUUUUCUACAUAAUAGAGAAUGAACAUAAUAAAACAUAUUCAAAUGGAAGCAAGAGAAGCGGAGUAGUUUAAUAAUAUAAAGUUGAAAAAAAUUACCUGCAUAAAGCAUUGUGACUGCAUAGGGCAUGAGCUAAGAGGAGGGCGAGUAAACCCAAUGAUGGGUGAACAAAACAUCCCAAUGUAAUUGCUGUUAACGCAGUGACCAAAGAUGGGCUGGCUCUUAUUACCCUCAUGGCCUGUUUUAAAAGAAAUUGAACUAGUAUUAGCGUGGUGCCAUUGGGAAUUUCCAGCAAGAGUAAUGGAACCGUCUAAGGCUAAGAAUUGAUUUGGUUAAACCGAACAGGGUCCAAUUAUCUAUUAGUUGACAACUGCAUCUCGCCCAAAAAUCAUAAAUGAUAUCGAAACUGACUAAAACACGAAUCAAGAACACGUUUAGAGUUUAAACAUUGAGUCCACUUUCCCUCUUAGUUAUCCCAGUUUCAGACUUUCAGUUGAUUGAAGACCAACCUAAUUCGGUUUCAAUUUAACCAACAACCAAAAUCGGUUUCAACCACUAGGAACUAUAUCACAGUCAUAUAGACAAGGAGGAAGGUUACUUAGCUCUGGUUUUAUGGUCUCAUUUAAGUAACUGUUGGAUGAAGUAAGAGUAAAAUUGCACAGGAAGGUUCUGAGAGAGAUAGGAAGUUGACCUUAAAUGAGAAGACCCUAGCAGAAAGAGUAAUAAACCAGCGAAGAUACACAAGCUGGAAGUUUUCUUCCCAGUGUUGCCACCUGUAAAGAAUUAGUCCUUGUUAGUCAUUUGUGCACUAAGUUAACGUAUCCCUAUAUCAAUCGACAGAUCACCAUCAGCAAAGUGCUCAGCAAGAAAAAAAACAUACCUUGACUUGAGGAGCAAAUGCAUGAACGCAACUGCAUAGAAGAGAGAUUGGGACCCCAGUACCAGUAGGAUUACAACCCCAUUUGCGAAUAGAUAGCAAAUUAUGGACACAGCAACGAAGCUUGCAAUUGAAGGAAGAGGCUGUGAAUUUAGCAUCGAGAGAAAUAGUGAAACUAGAAUGGGGGUGAAGCCCAAAAUCAUAAACGGUAGAGGCAUCCUUAAGUUGGAAGCCAUGGCCGUAAGCACUGAAGGUAUAGGCAAAUCUAGAUCCCAUGCAUGCACUUGCUGCAUUAACGCAAAGAAGAUAGCUGCAAAGCAGAAAGCCACCAUCUGCAAAUAAGAAUGUCCAGUUUAUGAAUUUGAGCAUUUCCAACAUUAAUUUACAGGCAUAUGCCGAACCUUAAAUGUAUUCAAAAGAAAAAAAAAAGCAAACACAAAAGAACCAUGAAUAGUUUCAACUUGCAGGUCUCAUCCACAAUGGAAUAUUUUCAAUUUUGAUCUAUGUGAACUUUCAACUCACCUGCGAGCUAUACAGAAGCAAAAAUCUGCCAGCAGCAGCUGUUUGAGAAGCAGCAAAGUUCAAUUUAUAUGAACAAUGAGGAUCAACCUUCAAAGAGAAGCAUAAAUAAGGGCCUUUGCUGAUAAACGGGCUAAAUUCAGACCUUAUCCAGAGAAUGUUGCCACUUACCAGUAACAGUAUAGAAGUUUUUUCUGAUCCUGGAAAGGAACUCAAACUUGCUGGUGAUGAGUCAACCGUAACAGUUUCACUAUACAAACUAGGGAAGAUAUGAAGCCCAGAUGUGGGAUCCCAGGCCACAGCAACAGGUGGAAAACACCGCAAUUUGCAAAGAUCUGGACACAUAAAAGUAAAGCCAGUUUAAGAGGAAACCAAGCAAAAGGAAACAAAAGACAGACUCCAGCACUUCUGUGUGGAGAUGGACGUCAAAAUAAGAUUAGCUUGCGUACUGGUAGUUUCCAUAUCUCCAGACUCUUCGUCAGGAAGCCCAGACUUCUUUAUUCCACAUCCAGUAGUUUCUAGAGAUAGUGAAGUUGGCAAAAGGCCUAGGCUGACAUCAAAGGAUAAAUUAAAAGCUAGGGGAUGAUCCUCUUCCAGCACCAUAUCCUAUAAACAUGCAAAGUCAUCAACCAGAGAAAGUCAGACCUCCAAUGCAAGAAUUAAAUUGGAUACUUGCAUAUUUGAAGUUUCAUGGCUUAGAAAGUGGCUAUACAAUUUUCAGUUCUUCUAUGAUCACUAACCUUUGAAGAAUAGGCAGAUAGAAGCAUCACGGGCACAGAUAACUCUCUUUCUCCCUCCUUCGGAUCAUAGAACUGCCCAACUGCCAUAGAAGCUGGUGGUGGAGGUCGGCCUGAAACAGUCUGAGGAUCAGCAAUCCAUCAAAUGUCAAUCACUAGUGCAGUUAUUUUCACUGUAUAUUAGGUAACUAAAAUUCAGUGCAAUUUAAAAUGAGUACACAAACAAAUUAAAGAUCAACAAAGAGAAUGUAAUUUAAAAUACAUAGAGCCACAUACAAAGCAAAUAGGCGGAUGCAGACUUGGAUAAUAGCAAACAUACAAAGCAAAUAAGCGUAUGCAGACUUGGAUAAUAGCAAACAUACAAAGUAAAUAGGCGGAUGCAGACUUCCCAAUACGCUACACACAAGUUCAGAAGAAAUCAACAAGAAAAAAGGAAAUCGUACCGGACGAGGAGCAAUUGAAAUCGUCAGGAAUCUGAAGCCUCGCAUAUCUUCGGGAGUUAGACAAAGUAAAGCAGAAGGAGGUGCUUGUUCGGUCUGUCUUCCAGGCUCAGCCUGAUACAGAUACCGCAAAUUUAGUAUGUUUAUUCAUGCAGCUUCAGACACAUCAUUACCAUUAUUGGGAGAGCCUUCAUGCUUUUCAAGCCAAGAUCACAUAGUUGAGAAAUUUAUACAAACAAGGGCAACAGGAAGAACCAGAAAACUAGCAAUAAGCUAUAAGACAUUCAUUAUUCAAAUCAAGAUGAAUAAAGACCUGUACUGGAGCUGGUCCUGAUGGAAUCUGCACCAGCUUUGAUGUAACCUCAACUAUUUUGUCUGAAUUUGACUUUCCCUUUUCAGACCACAGGUGAAGUCUCACCCCAGAACACGGAGCAAGAUUAGUCACAAACACAAAAUGACUCUUCCUGUUUGAGCCCUGCAUGAAGUCGCAGGCAACUUCAUUGUUCAGAAGGUUCAUACAUCAAAAAGUGGAACUUGACUAAAGUUUUAGUUAAGCCUCGACAUAAACACUACAACCACAGCAACCUAAGUAAAGUUAUAAUAGCCUCGACAUAAACACUACAACCGCAGCAACUUAAGUAAAGUUAUAAUAGCCUGGACAUAAACGCUACAGCGCAGUGUAUUCAUAGAUAAACAAUCAGUUUUAAGCAGCUAAAGCUAAGCACUAAGUUCCCGUAAUUCCUAUAAAUUAAGGUGAAAAUUAUAUGAUAGCGCCAAUUAGUCAAAUCUCGCCUCAGGAACGAGAGUUACAAGGAAUGUUCUAUAUUUCAUAAAUAGAUAACUAGACAUUUUUUUGUGAGAAAUAACAACUAUCCAGCAACAAAUUUCUUAAGAUGACUCAAGAUAGUUUCACAAAGCUAACCAAUUUAUGUAUGUCCAACCAUCGUCUUCUCCCGUCCAUGGCCAAGACAGUCAUAGUACUAGUUUGGAUAUAUAGAUCCUUCUCCAGACCAUCAUCAUUCCAGACAAGAUUGCUGGGGCAACCAGGUAAAGUAGCCACUUGAGAAACUGCACACAGGAUAACCAAGGUAUCAUUGUUCAAAUUAAACUUUCAGUUUUUUUAACAGAAAUAUGCACAUGCUAAUAGAAGGAAUUCCAACUUAAGAUUCCAGAAAAGUUUAGUUCCUUGGAGGAACUUCAGAAAAAACCAGACAGUUUUGAUCCCUUUGUUUGGUCUCUUUCAAAUUUCUUAAUGCAUUUUGAAUUUUCACACUCUAGACUAUCGCAAUCAUAGACAAAAGUAACUUAUAAGCUUCAAACUAAGCAGUUGAUUAAGUGGGUAGAAAAAUACCAGCUUCAGCACUUAGAUUUUUGCUUGGAUCAUGAAGAUGUGGCUGACUUGUCCAAUGGAGAGCAUCAGGUAUCCCACUACGAAGCAUCCUUGCUAAUAUGGAAAGCCUUUUCCGAGUAUCGGGAAAUGGAAGACCUGUUCUUGCAUCUAUCAAACUGAGGAGUGUGUGUGAUACCUAAUACAACAUGUACCAUCAGCGUUGUGGAGGGUCUAAACUCUGAAUUCAAGAAGCGUCACUCACUUGUACAACUAAUUGGUUGCACCAUAGAAUAGCCUGAUGCUCCAUGGAUAGCCACACAUUUCUCAUGCCGGUACUGCUAAUCAUAAAUCCAUGAGUCGGAGGCACAAUUCCAUCCAGGGUCUCUAACUUCGUUCGUACCUGACACAGAAGCAGAAAGAUCAAUGCCUACAGGAAAUCUCCCAGACAAGGAAAAAGAAAUGCCCUUUGGACUUGUAAGAAGAAAGAAACUAGAGGGAGAAUGAAAAAAAAAUAUCAUGCAAUAGUUAUGGCUAAAAAAUCUCAACAAGAAGAAUAUGAAUUACUCCCACUAUAAUAUCCAAAACAUGUCAGAUAAGAGACAUUUCUCGCCGAAGUAGCACCACGGAGAGCAUUCUCAUUCAUAAAUAUAUAAUAUGAUAGACUAAUUAUAAUCUCCACAGUCCCGUCAAAAAAUAAUUAUCAACUCCACACUGGGAGGUGAAAAGAAUAAUAAGCCAUUACCAACCAGCCAUAAACUAAUUAUAAGUCCUUGCCUCACACAGAAAACCAUGAUAAUAUCACUCAACUACCACAUAUGAAAAGUUAAUCAUGGAACUGACCUUCUGCUCAAAUACAGAAGUCCAAAUGUGAUAGCAAUUUCAGAUGCUAAUUGCGAAAUAAGAUUGAGUGGAACUGCUAGUAUAUAACUCAGAAGCGAACCUGAUAAUCGUUAUAAGCACCAGAGAUUGAAACAACAAUGACAUGGGAGAGCAAUGGAUCAGACACAAAUGGUGCAGUUUGAGUGGUUUGGACCUCAUAUCCUUUCCUCCAUUCAUUGUUCACACGAGUAAAGUAGUUGCCCAAUGAUGGCUGCAAAGCCACUGGAGGUAACCUGGAUCAGGUGGUUUGUUCACUGUAAGUUAAUAACCUUUGGCACGCAUACAGCCAAAGCUAUUGCAUGAGCCAUAAAACUCACUGAUGUGGGGUUGAAAGUGUAAGAAUAGUCUCAACAGCAGACUUCCUCAGCCGGGGAUGGAUUACAGCAGCUCUAGCAACAAAACCACCCAUGGAAUGACCAACUAAUAUCACACUCUUUGGCACAGUACCAGAAGUGGCAGCACCUUCUUUUUCUCGCACAUCAUGAGAAUGCUUAUACUGAUCCAAAAUCUGAAAAUAUGAAAUUAUAGUACGUUCAAAACCAAUAUUUCUUUGCUAAAUAGCAUGCAUGUCUCAGUGAGAUACCUGUUGGGAUAAGUUCGAACGAAAAAGGAGAACAUAAAUGUUAACGACAAACAUACAACUUAGCUUAUCAGCAAAAAAACUAUGGAGAACACAUGCCCCCGAAGGUUUUAUGUAAAAUUUUGGCAGCAUGGAAUAAAACCCGCAACUAUUUUCAAGACAAGAUUCACAGAAGAAACACCUACUUCACCUCAAAAUCAUAAUUUGCGGAUUCCCUCAAUAAAGUCACUCGGCAAAAAAAAUCCAAUUUUCAGAUUCGUGUGCAUACACCUCAAUAAUAUUAAACAAUCAUGACAAAAGCUGCAAUACCUUGUGAAUGGCAUACACAACAUAUUCAGUGUGUUCUUCAAGUAUCUGGCCAUCCAUGGCAGAAUGUUCACCUUCAAGAUCCACUGCAAACCAAUCUAUCUUACUACUGUACUGGCCGGGCAAUUGAAAGUCAGCCGAAUGCAUGUCCAUGCCUCCCUCCUCGGGAGUUAAACUUGCCUCAUGAAGAAAUGUCCUUUCUAGCGGACCUCCUUGGUAUGCCCUCUCACAUUCAGCAGCCAAAGACCUUACCUACAUGAAAUAAUCAGCCACAUUGUAAACAGUGAGAAAGGUAAAUCUCGUUCAAUAAAGAACUUGAACUCAAUGGAGAGAACCUCCAAAGUCAACUGAAAUAACAUAAAAUAAAAAAUCUGAAGGAUCGCAUUAAUAUAAUUGCAUCAGAAUCCAACACCAAGCUUACUCAGCUAACACUCAGCUAAUACAAGCCUUACUCUCUCCAAAAAACUGAAAUGCUGCAAACUAUCUUGACAGCAAACUGAGUUAUUCGUACAAAAAUUUCGGCUUUCUUAAGUUGGUAAACUUUCAAAUUCGAGGGCUACUCAUCCGAACUACAAUGUCCAAAACGAAUCCGCAAAUUGUAUCAGCUUCGUAACCACAGAUCAAUGUAGAUUCUAACGAGAUCACUGCAAGUGAGACAGGGAGAGGAUAAGAAGAGAAAGGAAAGCAUUGCCUGUUUGAAGCUGCCACCAUUUCCAGGGAUAAAAAGAACAGGAACGCCACUAAGCUGCUUGAGAUGCUCCUCGAAAUCGAUCUUCUUCCAACCUUCAUGGUAAAGGUGCAACCCAUACUUACCACCGGAAGUAGCAGCAGCAUCACCAUUCACGGUGGUCGAAAUCGGAAUGUAAGUUGGAUACAUGUAAGUCAUAGCACAUCCAUUGGAGAUUGGCUUCAACAGCCCGUACAAACCAAGAAGAGAAAUCGACAGAGCUAACACAACUGGAACCGCCACCCUAAGUUUGGCCUUGAAUCCUUGCAUGUUUGCUUUCGGAUCAAAGCUCCAGAUGAAUUUUUCGAACCUAAACGAUUUCGAAAUGACCCACUAGCUUUAAGAUCUGAAUCUAGCUACCGGAGAGCCGACAAUCAGCGAGGCCAGGUAUGAUGCCAAUUUUGAUGGCGUACUAGAAGAGUAACUAAAGAGUUGUAGAGACUGUGGACUGGGUGCAAAUUCCCGGAGCGACACCGGCGAGUUGCUAUGGAAGUGCCGGCGAUGAAGACUAGAGAGAGAUCGGGAUGAGUACAGUGUGAGCUUGAGAAAAACUUGGUUCAGUGAAGACGAAGAAGCUUGGGAAAAUGGCGCCCACAGUGUUUGGGCUCCAACUAUAAUUGGGCCGAUAGUUUAUGUUUGUAGCCCAUGUUUAUCGUCGCCGCCUAGGGUUUAAAAAGAGGCAGUGGGAGCCGCCGGCGGUUGCUCAGUCUUCACCUUCAUCAUCGCCGGCUACUCGAAAUCAAAUAGGAGAUAUGGCGGAGGCGGCGAUUCUCAGCUACUUGGCGACGCACGAAGAAAUCGCCGAUUCUGGCCAGUUCGCUGCAGAGAGUGGGAUCGACCAUUCUGAGAUGGUCAACGUGAUCAAGAGUCUUCACGGUUUUCUCUAUGUUGUUGCUAAUGUACGUUACAUUUCUCUGGUCGAAUUUUACAGUGACAAGAAAUUAAUCCAUCUAGUCUGUUGGUGUGCUUCUUUGAAGAGAAUUGGAGGGUGUAGGAAUUGAACUGAAUUUUAAUAUUUUGCCCUCUUGGGGAAAUGAAGUAGUCACAUCUUCAAAUGAGUGUAGACCAGGAAGUAAUUCAUCAAAUGGCUACAUGUUUCCAGUAUUCCUGUACUCAAUAGUUAAUCUUAAUGUGGUAAAGAUGAGAUUUUCCCUGGUAUUUUCCUUCAAUUGAUAUAGUUCAGUUCGAUUGCAUCAAAGUUUGGAGGUUCUUUGAGACACUGCUGAAUUAGUUUUCAUAUCGAUGCUUCAGGACAUAAAAAAGGAGACCUGGGUUCUUACUGAUGAAGGUAAGAAGUAUGCUGCGGAAGGCGCGCCUGAAGUUCAACUGUUCUUGGCUGUACCCUCAGAAGGUAGCAUCUCAAAAGAUGAACUGCAGGUUAUUAAUCGUUUCUCUGGUCUUUUUCCUUUCACCUUUUGUCAUAGUGCACUAAGUGAAUUAACAGCUUUGAUGAACCUGGAUUUUUUGUAUGCAAUAUAAAUAAAAUUGGUGACCUUUAUUUUUUUAGCAUGGGAGUUCAAAUUGUUGAUCGGUUGUCCACUUGUUCCUUAUAUUAGUAUUCAGAGUAGGUUUCUUAUUUCAAGCAAUUCGCAAGCUUACUGACAUUUUGUUGUAACAACUCGCCAGAAAAAGCUUGACCCUGCAGUUUUCAAAAUUGGGUGCAACCAGGCUGGGAAGAACAAAUGGGUGGAAAUGGGAAAGCACGUUUCUAGAAAGGUAUCUAUUAUCUAAAAUUUUCUCAGCCACUCUUUUUUUUCAAAACCAAGAAACGAAUGAAUUACAUGCUGAAAGAUAUGUUCCAUGGUUUAUUCAUUUUAUAAUAAUGGGAAAAGGCGGCAGAGGAAGAACUGUUCAGAAUGGAAUCACCUACUCAAAAGCUGACAGUGGAUUACCUGAAUAACCUAAGCAAGAGUUACUUGAAAUUUAGUUGGUUGUUCCAUAUUUUCCCAAUUCCGUUGUCUGUUUCACUUCGAGUCAGGUAGCACAAGUGGAAGACAAGGUGAAAGAUCAUCUUUUAAAGAUACAAGAGGGACAGGUUUGCAGUUCUCUUUCAUCUCAAUACCCAUCUUAUCGAUAAUGAUAUAUUGGUUUCAAUUUAUGUGACGUUUUCUGUAUCCCUUAGAAAGGAGAAACUUGCUCAUGAUUGGUUGAUAUUAGCGAGUAGAUUAUAGAAGUAUUGUGUUUCUUGUCCUAUUACUUGGCCAAUGCGUUCUACAAUACUCUUUAUGGGUCACAUUUAUACCCUGCCCUUUUUUCUGAAAAAACUGGGUACAAUAAUUAGAGUGCUUCUGCAACCAUAGGGCUGCGGAUCGAUGUUGCUGUUGCAUCGGAGUAAAAUUAGUUAAAUGAAAAUGCUUAUGUAUUAGGUUAAGAAUUAAUAGCAUUGUUGGGAACUGGGGUCAUCCAAUAUCUCCAUUUUGAACCUUGUUAGAUCCAAAGUCAUGGCUUUGUUGAACCUCAUCUGGUUUUAGUUUCCUCAUUAAAAUUAGAGACCUCGCUUUGGUUUUCAUUGUCUACCUGGUCCUGUGUAUGCUGAUCUAUAAUUGAUUUUAUAACUCUGGAUUUUCAGGUCAUUGGCAAAGAUGAUAUCAACCCUCUGAAAGCAAGGAAGCUAAUUGUUUUACAGUAUCGCUCUCAUCCUGUAUUCUAGUUGAACUGUCUUAUUUUUGGGGUUCCUUAUGUGGUGCUGUAAAGCUCAAGUUUCGUUUAAUUAGUGGUGCUUACUACAAAAAAUGCUCUUGUUAUAGAACAUGGAAGGGCUACUCUGUCACUAAGGGUCCUAGUUAUGCUCCUCAAAGAAAGAAAGCUGCAACUGAUUUGACCCGAGAAAAUCUGCAGAGGUAUUCACUUCUCUAUCUUUGGAUAGACGUGGCAGUGACUUGGCUGCCAUUUGCAACUGAUUUAGGAAACUAAAGUUUCAUAGAUGUGUGAAUUACACAGGUGUCAUUUAGCUUUUCAUGACUUCUUUCUGCGUACAUGUUGAAAUUGUUUUUCUUCCUCCUACCGCCUAAUGUAGAGAAUUAUUCAUCUGUCAUCUUAAAAGCGUGUUCUUACACGAAGAUCUUAUCAUUUGUGCCUGUAAAGAAAUAACCAUAUUUUGACUGUAGUGUCUAUGCAUGAUACUGUUUAUGGCUUUUAUUUUUCUCAUUUCCUUGGCUCAUCUCACUUGGAUCAGAAAGCUGAUUAAAAUUGUGAUUCUUUCCUAUCAGAAAAGACAGAUAGCAUCUGAUAUGAUUGAUUUCAUCUUCUUGCGCUUGAGUAGUUAAAUCAAUCACAAAGAAACAUUAGCUAGUCAUAUAUAUUUUUCUUGUUAUAUCCCGGUAGCUAGUAAUUCUUGUUCCUCUAAUAUCCAUAGCUUGUUGCUUAUGCGUCACAGCAACUUUAGGUUAUUCAUUGCAAUUUUAUUCAGCUGUUUAUUUAUUCUGGUUUAAUGAGAAAAUCAAAAUAUUUUAGGGGAGACUGGAAGGACUUGGAGUUCAAAGAGUACAACUUCAGUGCUAAAGGUCCGCCUUCUGAUGGUGGCCAUCUUCACCCACUUAUGAAGGUAAGAAUAGUUUGUUUCCAACAAUUUUCUUAGUUUUUUCUUUGUUGUAUUCUCAAUCUUGUCAGAUGCCUGCUUUUCCAUGAUCUCUGUAGUAUAUCUGACUAAGGACUUUUAAAUACACUCAACCGUCUAUCUGUCUGAACCCCGAUAAACCUAUACACACUUUUAUUCUGAAGGUUUUUUCCUCUAUCUCUAGGUCAAAGAACAAAUAAAGGGUAUUUUCCAAAUGAUGAAGUGAGUAUUGUCCUUCUCGUGCUGUUGCUUGUCAAUCUUGCCUUGUUCAUCUCUCACUUCUACUGUCCUUCUCCUGUAUGCAGCUUCGAGGAAAUGCCAACAAAUAGAUUCGUUGAGAGCAGGUUCCUGCCCUUUCCAUCCCUUCUCGUUAACUCUACACGUCACCAUCUGUUAAUUAUUUUCUAUUAUUGGGUUUGAAUUUCACUUGAUCAAGUCUGCUGCCUAUCUUGAGAGAGUGGAAGAACUUAUAGCUAAGAUCUUAUUUACUAGUAUUAACUGUGAGUCAAAUCAAUUAAGGAACGAAUUCUUAGAUUGUUCAGCUCAUGAAGUUCUUUUAAUUGUCGUGGUGCUAUUUUCCUUCAGUCUACACGUUUUUUUGCAGCUUCUGGAACUUCGAUGCCCUCUUCCAGCCACAGCAACAUCCUGCCCGUGAUUCUCAUGAUACAUUCUUCCUGAAAGGUCCGUGGCUGUCUACUGUUGAUUUUGCGUCAUCUCUUCUCUUUUGACAGUCUGAUAUAUUCUUCUAUAGUUCCUGCGACAACAAGAGAGCUUCCUGAAGAUUAUGUUCAGCGAGUGAAGGAUGUCCAUGAGUCUGGUGGAUAUGGCUCACGAGGGUAUGAAUCUGAUUUGGUUGCUUUUCCUAGUGUAAAAUCAAAUGUAACCUUAAGACGCUUCUUCUUAUCUGCGGGCCAGAUAUACAUAUGAGUGGAAAAGAGAAGAAGCUAACAAGAACCUUUUGCGCACUCAUACCACGGCAAUCUCUUCCAGAAUGCUUUAUCAAUUAGCACAGGUUCAUUCAUCUGGCUCCCUUUUGUGAGGUUUUACAUUGCAUAGUUAUCAUAUUGUUUAUUUACUUGUUUUAUGUUCUAUUCAUAUUUCCAGGAAGCUAAACAGAAAACCUUUACCCCUAAAAAGUUGUUCUCGAUAGACCGUGUUUUCAGAAAUGAAGCAGUAGACCGUACACAUCUUGCCGAGUUCCACCAGAUAGAAGGUACGUCGUCGCAAUUUGUAAUACGAAAGAGGUUAUUUUUCACAUAAUUCUGUCCUACUCAAUUUGUAAUAAUUGGUCCUAUAUUUAUGUCCUUCCAUGGUUCCAGAUUACAACAUCCAAACAAAGUAUUUCAAUGCCUUUUCUCUCACUUAAACAAGUCUUCGUAUGAUGGGGGUGGUUCUUUUAGUUAGAAAGUGACUUGUAUGAUGGAUGUUGACUUUCUAGUUUAUUAUAACUGUCCAAUUUAUCUUAUCAUGUCUCCUCUUUUUAUUUUUUUCAGGUCUAGUGUGCGAUCGAGGGCUUACACUAAGCCAUUUGAUAGGAGUAUUGGAAGACUUCUUUGCACGUCUAGGUAAUAAUGAUUGGACUUGCUCAACCUUUUUCAGACACUCCCAGGACAAAAUAACUGGUUAUUAUACCAUUGAUUAGGAGUAGGGGUGACGUGCAUCUUGCUGAUGUGUAGCUUGAGAUGAUAUUAUUUAUAGCAUGCAAGUUGAUUAGCUAUGAAGACAUUGUUUGAGCAAAUGGUGUAUGAUGCAAUGCACAAUUGUUGGCUUCUUAUCGUAUUCUUGUUUUGGUCCAGGAAUGUCAAAACUACGCUUCAAGCCAGCUUACAACCCAUAUACUGAGCCAAGCAUGGAGAUAUUCAGGUAAAUAGAUACUGCAGCGAUCUCUUACUUUUCAUACCAGGUGAUAGAUAAGAAUUGUUCUAACAAUGAAUUGGACAUUGAGCAGUUAUCAUGAAGGAUUCAAGAAGUGGGUGGAGAUUGGAAAUUCAGGAAUGUUCAGGCCGGAAAUGCUUCGUCCGAUGGGAUUCCCAGAAGAUAUUAACGUCAUUGCAUGGGGGCUUUCACUUGAAAGGUAAAUGCAGUGGCUUUCUCAAUCUUGAAAUUAACAUUGAUCUGGUGAUCUGAUCUAAUAUCUGUUUUGGAUUUUGUUGGGGGGGAACAGGCCAACGAUGAUAUUGUAUGGUUACGAUAACAUCAGAGAUCUGUUCGGGCACAAGGUGGAUCUUGGUCUCAUGAAGAAGAAUCCUUUGUGUCUCAUUGGAAUUAAAUAGAGAGAUUUAUCAAACUCUGCCUCAUUUGUCUAUUUGUUGUUCCUUCUAUUAUAUUAUACAUUUGUCUCAUAACUUCUGAAUGAACGGGUUGGAAUAUUUUGGUUCAGUUUAAUAGUUGUAACGGAAACAAACUUGUGGAUAUUUCUGUUCCGGUAAAAGAUUGACUCCGCGGGUCAGGUUGUAGAUGGUCAGGCUGGUGUUUUCAACUGGUAUUCUGCUCUUGUUGUCGAAUGUCGAACAAUCCUGGAAGCUUACCUGAUUUUCUGUUUGUGAUCAAUGACCGACCAGCAUUCUAUCCGAUUCCAAAGUCGCGAUCUCAGCUGUCUCGAACCCGCCUGUUUCUUGGCUUUGGGUCUGCUAAGUACGUACACCCAUAUUUCCCUGAAGUUCUCUCCUCGGUCCGUUAUUCGUAAUGCUGAUUGGUUAGCUAGGGGAAGCUAGGAAUGGCUCUCUAACCCCGGGUUGUCUCAACUUGCUUUUGGGAGUCAGGUAGCCGUUUACAGGUCUCGUAAAAAAACAGUAAGGAAAUGAAAGAAAGACAAUAACAGUGCUUAUAUGUUAGUAGUGUUGGUCUCGAACCGGAACCUCCAGAUGGACUGCACUAAUCAAAGGGGGUUACCAUAUCUUAUCCGUCCAAAAUCAGUCGAUUUGCGAGUACCCUGAUACCGGCUUAAGAAAAGUAUGGUGAACUUGGAUAUUGUCUGUCAAACUUGGUGCAACUUCAGGCAGGUUUUCAGUUGCGAACCCAGCAGCCAAUUGUUACAACUUAACCAAGAGACGAGAUAUCAAGUGAAAUGAAAAAUGACGGGGGAGGGGGGGCGAAAAGUUUGAACACAAUUAAUUAAUAAGUGAAGACUACACCCUCAGUGAUGUUUUCCGCUCAUCCAACCCAGCUGCUUAGUCUGUUGUAUAAUCCUCAAUAAGAUAAACAAAACUCACUAAGGUGUAGAAAACAUACAACAACACCACCUAACUUACGACAGUAACUUCCAAUGCUAAAACAGAAAUUGUUACUUAAAACUGGGAUUAAAUUUCUUCAACCCGGAGAAAGGCCAUCGUCCAUCAACUCCAGCAUCCAUCAUCUUGAAUACGGAUGAUACCUACCAGCACCGGCAGGAGGACCGCCACCAUAUCCACCACUCCCACCGUAUCCACCUCUACUUCCAUAACCUCCACCGGGACCACCAGCACCGCCUCCAUAGCCACCAGCACCGCCACCACCAUAGCCACCACCAAGGCCAGUUUCGUAGCUGCUUCCGUAGCCACCACCGGGGGCACCACCAUAUCCGCCACCAUAGCUGUCAGCAGGGCCACCAUAACCUCCACCCAUGUCAUACCCUCUGCUAUAACCUCCGCCGCCUCCUCCUCCAUAGCGUCCUGAAUACCCAACAGAUAGCUCUCCUCUAUAAGGCCCUAUACCACUUCCACCUGCACCACCACCGUAUCCUCCAUAUCCUCCUCCUCCGCCUCCAUAUUCACCAGCGCCAUAUCCACCAUACGAACUCAUUCUACUGCUUCCAUAAGCACCACCUGAUCUGUAUAAGCUGCCGCCACCACCGCCGCCAUAGGUAUACCCUCCUGGCCCGUCGUAAAUAUCAUUGAAUCCACCACGAGACGGUGGCCUUGAAUCAUUGUAACGUUUGAAUGAAGGUGUUGGCGGAUUAGGCUUCUUUGGUUCUGCCUUCUUGAUCUCAACCUGCGGAAUAAUAAAACAAACAAUAGGGUUACUUGAUUGCAAAGCACCGCCUAUACAUAUCAUCCAACUUCACGUUCCAAGGAGGACUCAAAGGCCCAUCUUCAUUUAUCACCAUAACAGAAAGCAAUUUGAUAGACGUGCAUCUUUGUAGUGCAUAAUUCAUAAGGGUACUCAUAUCACACGUGUGGCAGUGGGGGAAGUUAUUUGAGUCAGAUGGUCUAAAGUUGUAUACCCCUCAUUUCAGUACAAAAGCAACACUAGUAUGCAAAUCAUGAUAAAAGAUAAGACCGCAGCAAUAACAAACAUCAACUUCAAAGAACCACAAAAUAAAUUGAAGAGAAGUCAUUACAGCUGCAAUCUACCUUCUGGAUUACAACAAACGAGAAUAACAUUAUUGAUGUUUUCCACAGAAAAUAGCAGUAGCUUAUAAUCAUUACUAUUCAACAAUCUGUAGAAGAUAAGAGGACUCUUUUCAAGAUUCAAACGUAGAUUUAUGAAACUACAGACAACAAAUGUUAUUAUAUCACCCACAUGAUUGAUCAGUUCUUCAACUAUGCGUCUAAUAUAUAUUCCAAGAACAGUUAUAAAAGAAAAACUGGUACAAACGAGAUAUAAGCUCACCUGAGUUCCAGCAAAUUCAAUUCGAUUUCCCUUUGUAAGUAGGUCAUCAACUGCAUCUUCUUCUUCAAAGGUAACAAACCCAAAGCCACGAGAGCGAUUAGUUGAAUGGUCCCUCAAGAUCUGGUGCUCCAUAACACUUCCAAAUUGUGCAAAGAAUUCUUUCAGCUCAUCUGCCCAUUGCAGUAGAAGGAUUGUUAGUUAAUCUUAUAACUAAUCAAUUAAAGCAACUAGCUAAAAGGCUUCAUUUCUAGCCACAAGAUUUUUAACGAGUACAACUAGCUCAAACCCAUUUGGUGCUAACUUAGCUAAACAUUUCAUUACCAUCCUUAACUGAUGAAGGAAUUCCAACAGCAGCAAGAUUCUAACUCUAUAUUACCACUAGGUGAUAACCCAUUGGUUCUAGAUAACUAAAAUAAAUAAAUUACCAUCAGUGACUGCUGAAGGAAUUCCACCAACAAAAAUUUUCUUUGUCCUGAAAUCCUUAGACCCAGCGGCUCCCCUAGGUAUAGUUCGCUUAAUUUCCACCUAAAGAUCCGAAAAGGCAAAGGAGGAUCAGCACGAAGAAGCAAAAAAUGAAGGAGCUAUGCUUAACUUAUAUGAAGAAGACUAAACAACAUAAUCUAACAUUACACCAAUAACUCAGCCCUACUUGUUUAUCCUUAAUAAUAUGUGUGUCCUGAAUGACUUGAUCAACAACAGAAGGGUCUGCAUAGGUGAUGAACCCAAAUCCACGUGGUUGACCGGUUUUUCGGUCCUUCAUAAUGACAGAAUCCGUAAUUUCACCAUAUUUACCAAAAUGCUCGAUAAACUCAGCUACAUUGACAUGGAAAAAAUCAGAGAAAGGGGGUUUAAGAGAACUAAUCAGAAAUAGGCUAAACACCACUAAAAAGGUGUGGACUUAAUAAUACUAAUUCACCGAAGCAGAUGAAACUAACUAACCAGUCGUAGUAUCUCUUGAUAAACCACCAAUGAAAAUCUUUCUGCAACCAAUACGGAAAAAAAACCAUCUGAGUCAUAACUACGAACCCUAAAUCUCAAGUAUCGUCUUAAAGAUACCCGUCUAAAAGAUACCUCGAAAAAGGCAAAAUCCAUCGACAACUCUUCUUCUACCGCAUUCAGGGAAACGAAUCAACUCCGAAAAUUAAAAUAAAAUCGGAAGGGACAGAGAGAUACCCGGGACUGGCUCCAUCUCCAGUGUGAGAAAGAGACCUGUCGUCAUCGUUGUUGUGGUGGUUGUUGGAUUGACGGCCGCCGUCAGCUUCUCCGCCUGGGAGCUCCUCGUUGUUGACGUGAGGGUCCAUGACAGAGCGGCAACAGGAAAUUGGAGCUUAGAAGGAGGUGGCGACAGAAGGAGUCCGGUGACGGCGACGGAUGUAAAUAGGUGAUAGGGGUAUGGCGAGCCUAUGGAGAAGAGAGAGAGAGUGCAAACCCUAGGCGGAGGGAGGAAAUAACAGCAAGCAGCGGUCGAGGACUCGCAGAUACUAAAGAGCUUCGAGCUUUCUGGGUGUUAGCUUCGUAUUUAAUAAAAUGGACCGAACCAAAACAAGUUUCACUAAUUUAUACGUUUUAUAUUAAUUAAUUGGCUCUUCGAUGAAAACUAAUUUCUUUAUAAUCAGCAAAGAUUUGGUUUAAUUAAAAAAUAAUUAAUUUUGUGUAUUUUCAAAUUAUAAUUUCUCUACAUUAUUAUUAUAUUAUUUCAUAUUAUCUUUGUCUUUAUGGAUUUAUAACUCCAUUUUUAAGAAAGGAUGCUAAUCUAGUCUUUUAAGUGAAUAAGAAAUUUUAUAUUUUUACUCAAAAUCCAACCAAAUGAGUAUUGUUUUAAAUGCCUAACGAUUUACCAAAUAAUUAUAUUUUGUACCAACGUAUCCGAAUAAACCAAUUAAGAUUUUUAUGUGUUCAAUGUGAUACAUAUCUGCAACUUUGAUGAUUAAAUUGGCAUUUCACCUCUUUGUUCGGGCACGUGGUCGUCCAUCGAGAGUCUCGCACUCGUCGCACUUCUCAGUUCUCACACCGGCGUCAUAUACCUUGAGCUCCCACUUGGAAUCUAGUCGUCCAUGGCUGCAGAGAUCGGAGCCUAAGCUUUUCGUCGAUUUGAGAAGUUCAAAUAAAAUUUACGGUAAUGACAGACACGGAGAAGGAGGUUGCAGCUGCGACUCCUGAAUGGAAGCCGAAGCCGAGACCGAUUGUGCGCCUUGGGAUCUUCCUUAUCUCGCACAGCCUCCUUUUCAGGUACUACUCUCCGUUAAGUUCUUCCAUUGCUCGGUGGAUCGUAUUUGCUGCUCUGUUGAACCGAAUUUGAAUGUUUGAAUUAUUAAAUUUUGUUCGUUCUUGUUGGUUGAGGGAUUUCAAGUGUUGUUUGCUGUACGGCUGGAGUUCUAGCGCUCUUUCUGCUUCCUAUGCUUGCCAAGACCACUUACAUUUCCGAAAAUGCGCUCAUGCCAGGUCUGGUCCAAAACUUAAUUCUCUUAGUUUAACUUGGAACUUUGGUUGGUAGUAACAUUCUGUUUCAAUUGUGUAACAAUUGGUUGUAAAUUUCUCUUCCUGGUGAUUAUGAAGGUUCGGCGAGUAGCAUGCUGUCUAAUCAUGAUAUUUCGGAAGCGAAUCAAUUGGCUAUGGAUUUAACUGGUUUAGAUUCAGCUGCUGCGGAUGCAGGCAUGUAUGUGAGAGACUUACUUUCAUGUUAUUGUUCAUCAGUUUGAACCAUUACAGAGAAGGGAAGUUUAUAGUUUUCAUUUUGACUUUAACAUUUUUCUGCAGAGGAAGUAGAAGGGUACUUUCAAAAUACUUAUCAGACUUGGGAGUUGAAGUCGGUUAUCAUAAGUUCCAAUCUCAUCAGAAUCAGUUACAUCCUCUGCACUUCUUCUCCAGCCCUGAUUCUGGGCUAUUGCAAGAGAAUGGAAGCUGUUCUUCAUAUGGCAUGAAUGUCGUUGGAAUAGUAAGGGCACCACAAGGCGAUGGUAAAGAGGCUAUUGUGUUGGUGACUCCAUACAAUUUCGGAAAGAGCGAUUCAACUGAAGCUUUAUCUGUUAGCAUUGGAUAUGCAGUAUUUUCAUUGCUCAGUCGAGUUACGUGGCUGGCCAAAGAUAUUAUUUGGCUCGUUGCAGAUUCGCAGUAUGGAGAACAUGCCCCUGUUGCUUCUUGGCUUAAGGACUAUCACAUACCCACGUUUUCUAGUUUAGCUGCUCAGAAUGCUGGUUCAUGUUCUAACGCAAGUAUUCUUAAUGUAGUAAAUGAAGAAUCUCUUGGUCUAACAGGGAUAUCUGCUGGGUUUAGACGUGCUGGGACUAUGGCCGCUGCUCUGGUCAUAAAAGUCACUGAGGGAAAAGAUCAGUUUGAAGACACUCUCGGUGUCUAUGCUGAGGCUUCCAAUGGGCAGAUGCCAAAUCUAGAUCUUAUCAAUAUUGUGAAUUAUUUAGCUGUACACAGACAAGGGUUGCGUGUGAAAGUUCAGAAAUUCCUGUCUCUUCUUGAAUGGAAAUUGCUUAGGGUGUUGGGAAAUACUUUUAACGUCAUUGGAAAUGUUGCUGGAAGCUUAAAUCCAGAAUGGAAAUUUGGUAUUCCUACGACAGAUUACAUUGAGGGCGCAGCAACGCUUGCAAGUUCCUUAUAUCACCAGGUUAUUUUUAUUCAUUGUACCAUUCAUUUUUAAAGGCAUCACUUAGUAUGACAUUAAACUUGAAUUACUUUGUCCUACAACAAUUAUGAGAAGCCAACCAAAUAACCAUCGAAGAGGGCUUCUUUUUGUAAAUUUCUUGAAGAUAUGUGUGUUCACUUUUUUUAUUUCUUCUAUCCUUCUAGGCACUCGGUAUUCCAACAGGUCCACAUGGAGCUUUCCGUGAUUUUCAGGUUGAUGCCAUUACUUUGGAGAUUUCACCCAAAGUAGUCUAUACAAAUAAGGGCAGACGUAAUGAAUUUAUUCUGCGAGGUGCAAGGUAUGCUCUUCCGUUACGGCUAUUGUAACUUAUAUCAAACACAGAACUGCUAUCUUCCUACUGGAAUUCUUGCUUCUUUUGUCAGAUGACAUACAGAAGUCAUUGCUAUUACCAUGAUGUAAAUUUGCAUAAGAUGGUAACAUGGAUCUUUUAUCUGUCCCUAUGAUCAUAUUUUCUCUAGAACAAGUUCUAUGGGGGCAAUGCCAGAAAUCAUUCCUCCAAUCCUCAUUGCUCUGGGGUAGUAGAUCAUGAUUUAGAGCUGUUCCAACUCCCCUAUUACAAACUUCAGUUCUAACUUCAUGUUUUGUCACUAUCGCUGAAGUUUCCUAUCAUUUUCUUUGUUGCAACAGGUUGAUUGAAGGGGUUGUGCGUUCAGUUAACAAUCUUCUUGAGAAGUUCCAUCAAUCAUUUUUCCUGUACCUCUUAACUGCGCCGGCUAAAUUUAUCUCGGUUGGAGUGUACAUGAUUGCUUUUGCUCUCCUCGUGGCACCACUUCCCCUAGUUGCCGCUUCCCUGUAUGUUGACGCCAAUAAGCUGGAACCUAGUCCCCAAGACUCCAAAGACAACCAAACUGGUUCUUCUCCCGACAAGCUCUCGAUCAACUUCAGACCAUGGAAAUGGCUCAAAGCAGCCAAAGAAGUAUUCGCUGUCCACGCAUGGGGUGUCGCUGUUGCACUGCUCCCUUAUUUCAUCUGCAAAAUACCCGAUUGCAGUCCAGCAGCCAGCUCUAUCAUCUGGUUCUCAACCUCAACAGUUGGACUCCUAAUCUUAUAUCUCAUCAUGGGUUCUCCUCCGAAACCCGAAUGGGAAAUCUUGAAAUCGGUGACAAUCUCGGCUGCUUUCAUUGGUUUGCUUCUCAUGUCUGUUGUCAAUUUCGCAACGGCACAAAUCGGGGCGUUGCUGCUGGUUCCAGCUUGUUUGCUGGCCCGGCCUUUGAUGCCGGACAUGAGAAACGCAAGUUUAAGGAGUUUCCUGAGGAUCGCCUGCAAUGUGGUGUUCUGUCUUGUAGCAUUUCCGCCUGCUGCAUUUUUUGUCUUGAAGGCUAUUAUUAUGAAUGAAGGCUUGAAUAGCAUGGAGGUGGGAGACUUUUGGGAGUGGGUUGAGUCUCUUUGGGCAUGGAACAGUGCUACCUACAUCUACUUAGGUAUGGUACACCUCCCGUGUUGCGUAUUAUGCUUGCGCAUUUUGUCCCACUCUUCUUGAUACUUGGGUAGUGUACUGCUGAAAUGUUGAACAUGAGCCUCCAUAGUUUGAUGCUUGAAAUGUGUUUGCAAUAUAUCAACUGCACGUGGUUGUUCAUGGUAUUUUGACAAAUUCCCAGAGCAGAGAACGACAGAAUCAUCCCUUUAGAGUUUCCUUAUUGACUUUUCACAUUUGGGUCAUGAUCUGGAGGCUAGCUCGCUCACAUUGUCUAAUGAGUCUCGAAUUUGUGAAGGGACUUCAGAGCCAUUUGGUGGUUACUUACCAUAAGUUUGAUGUCAUGUUAGAAGAAAGAUAGCUUGAUGAUAUGGAAAGUCGAGCUAAAAAUCGUUCAUUUAUGAGAAGACAAGUAUGGCAGAAUCAAUUAGGAUGGACAAUUGGAUUCUGCUUCAAGCUGCAAACGCAACAACUAUAACUGAAUGCAUUUUAUAACGAGAGUAUUGUAUGAUAAUAAUGGUAGUUUUAGUUAGUAAUAGCAACACUAAUAAGUGAGGGCCGGAGCAGUAAGGUCAACUUCAAUAGCAAUUCUAGCGAAUUUCCCACGAACUGAGUUCUGCGUGCGCAAAUCAAAGCGAACAGUCUUCCCGAUCAGAUUUCCCAGACCCUCGAGAACGUCACAGUGAUAAUACUGGUAGGAGAGAUGAGGGAAACGAAUCCAAACCAUCAUUUUCCGAAGAAGAUCAUCUGUCACACGAAAUUGGGAGUCCCGAGCAAAAACGACAAGAUAAUGCUCGAAAAUAGUCUAGAGGCCACCGGUUAAAGCAUGGAAUUUUUUUUGUGUGUAAAUUUUGGUAUCCGAUCAGGACGAUGAUCCUUGGGUUAAGGUUUUAUUCUUCUCCCAACGUUGGUGCGGCGGAUCGAACUUUGGUUCGCCAUUCCAAUGUAGCCCCUGAUACCAUUACACCAACAACUCGUGGGUAUACGUGAAAUCUUUUUUAAAUACUUAUUACUUAAAAAGGUCCGCUUUAAAAAAGUCCGUUUUGAUUUGCGCGCGUAAAGAAAAAUUUAUUUUCCUUUUUCCGUCAACUCUUUAUAAGGAAAAAACAAUCUGCCUAUAUGCACAGUUGACAUCCACAUAAGAUGUUUACCAGUUAGGUUACUUGGAAACUUGCUAAAGGAUAUCUGAUGCAUUACGAAAUAGACUAUAAUGACAUUGGAUGUAAAAUCUUAACUACGAUAGCAUAUGGUGCAGUUAUUAAAGAUUAUAGUGACAUAAGUCAUAUUUUAUUCAGAACCAGAUCAGCUACAUUCCAGGCCCACGUUAGACGAAUUUGGGCCGAGGCCUAGUCACACUCCACGAGACUUCAACGGCACCGUUUCACAUGCUUAGUAGUUAGUAUCGUCACUUAAAUUUGACAUGGAGAAUCCAAAGCAAAGUCCGCGCACGAAAGAAAUUCGAAAACUUCCCGCCUGCACUUGAAAAAAAGCUAUGGCGGUAGCGCCAACUCUAGCUUCCCAAAAACAUUUCCCACAGUAAAACCCCUAUUUUCCAAUAAGCUUCUUCAACACAGCUCCGCAAUCCCUUAACACUCCUUCUCCCGCACUCUUCACUUCCUCCGCCAUCACUGCUCCAAUCAAUGGAGGCUUCCAGCUCCACCUCAACGCACAAGUCCGGAUCCUUCUUCCAAGAUCUCAGGUCAAGGGAACUCAACGGAUUCAGAGGUUUGACAUUUUUUUUCUCCAUUUCCCUCUCUGUAUUGUUCCAGCUCAUCUCGAUUGACCUAACCAUUUCGUCAUUUCCUCUACUUUUUUAGUUCGGAAGCGGCCGUAUUCUGAGGAUUCGCAGCUGCAAUUCGACGUGGUCGGAGAGGUAGCAGUUGAGCAUAACAACGAGGAUACGCCUCCUUUGGCCGUUUCUUUCUGCAAGGUGAUGUUUCAGAUUCGCAGUAUGCUUUCGAUUCGAUUUUUACUUCAGUUCAUUUGAAGGAUUUGAAAUUGAAGCUCUGGAUUCUGUGUAGACGGCUAAAAAUGCUCACAUUCUCGCGGUGUCUGAUGAGGACGGCUACGUGAGCUUGUUCGAUACACGACGGAAGUUGUCCUCUUCUUCUACUCGUCAAGAGAAUGCAGAAAAAUCGAGAAUUAUUGAGUGGGUAGCUCAUCAGAAUGCCAUAUUUGAUGUUCAAUGGAUUAAGGUAUCACGCGUUGAAAAUCCUCUCCGUUCUUAUAAGCUUGCUUUAGGCGAAUGAAUCAGGCUUAUGGAGUUUGUUAUUCUAAACUUUGUAUUCAGGAUGACACCAACAUUCUCACAGCUUCAGGAGAUCAAACAGUGAGUACAUUAGACUAUCCUUGAGAACACUUCAUUUGAGUGUUUGUAGUUUCUGAAAUUUCAUGGCUUGUUGUCCAGUUGAAGUUUAUUGCGUUUGCUCAAUGUUUGUACUUUGUGGGAAGUACUUCGGAGACUGAGAUGUAACAUUUGUAUUAAGAGAUUUUUACCAUGUUAUGACUGAACCUGUGCGUUACACUUAUUUCUAGUAGAAUAUCUGAGCUUAAGAGGAAACAAAAUACAAUUGGUACAAAAUUUGAUCUAAUCUUUGUGUUACAGAUACAACUGUGGGAUGUAGAACGGAGGAAAUGCAAAGGCGUCUUAACGGGGCACGCUGGAAGUGUUAAAUCUCUCUGCUCCCAUCCAACAAAUUCUGGUAAUUACUUCACAUGUUGUAAUGUUGAUCGCUAAACUUUCUAUUGAGUUCACACGUCGAACACUUCUCACUAUGAUUCUUCUUCAGACCUUCUUGUGUCUGGUUCAAGAGAUGGUUCGUUUGCAUUGUGGGACUUGAGGUGCCAGAACACUUCCACGAGAAGAUCUAGUGAAAUUUGUAUAAGGUAGCCUUCCCCUUUUAUUCACUUCAGCAGAAGAUAAUAUGUAAUGUUCCUACUAGUUAAAUUUGUACUAAUAUCUUUCUUGUGCUCCUCCUAGUUCAACUGCUCUGGUGAAGGGAGCUCAUCUUUCAGCCCAAGCAAAACGGACUAGGCGUGGCAAGGUUUGUGGACGAAAAGGUUUUUGAAGUACAUAGUUUCUUCUAUUGCUAAUCGCUUAUACUAUAUGUUACUUUUGCAGGCGGCUUCCAUGAGCAUCACAUCAGUUCUUUAUCUUAAAGACGAGAUGUCCAUUGCGACUGCUGGUGCAGUAGACAGGUCAGUACAUUAAACAGUAAUAUUUUUGGUUGAUCAUGCUAGGAAAAUAUUGAUUUACCAAGACUUUGUUUCAUCAAUGUGUGUAAUAUAUUAGCAUUAUCAAAUUCUGGGAUACGCGGAACCUGAAAGCUCAAGUUACUCAAGUGUGCCCUCAACCCAAGUCGUCAACCGAAAAGGUAACAUUUGGUUGCUACGCUCCAGCAAAAGGCAAUUACCUCGUCUUAUUCUGUAAAUGUCAUACGUUAAUCUGAUUUAUAGUCAUCUUUUGCAUCUUUUGCUACAGGUGAAGAGAUUGCAUGGUAUAUCUAGUCUAUCUCAGGACUCCUAUGGAACGUUCCUUACAGCUUCUUGCAUGGAUAAUAGGUACUUUCUUCAACCAGUAAAAGAAUCUAUCAAAUAGAAUCAUUAUACAAUGGCCGCAAGCCUGCAACUACUUAAACUUCAAAAUUAGAAUCCCAGGCCUAUAUAUAUAUCUAACCUUCAACCUUGUUCAUUUCUCGCAGAAUUUACUUGUAUAAUGUUCUUCAGCUUCAAAAGGGUCCCAUACAGUCAUUCCGUGGAUGCCGCAUAGAGUCAUUCUUUGUAAAGGUAUAUCGUCGCGUUUAAUGAAUCACUCUAUCUUCCAUCAAAAUUUUGCAUGAAACUACUUUACAGUUCUAAAUGUUCGAUUUUGUUAUGCAUCGCAGUCUGCAAUUAGUCCCGAUGCUUCGUGCAUACUCAGCGGGUCCAGCGAUGGAAACGCGUACCUAUGGCAGGUUUGUUACCUACACAAAAGCAGCCUCCUAAAUUUCUAUGUCCAAGUUCUAUUGUUUCCUUAAUAACUGGUUAUAACACAUGACAAUAGGUGGGGAAGCCCCAGAUGGAUCCUACGAUAUUGAAAGGCCAUGAUGGAGAAGUAACAGCAGUAGAUUGGUACCUCAUCCUAUCUCUUAGAUGGAUUUAUAACAAGUUUCAUUGCAACCCUUAAGAGUCACAUUUACUUACCACUAUCAUAAAACUUAACGGAUACAGGUGUCAGUCUGAAGAAGGCAAGAUAUCAACUUCUGCGGACGAUUUCACGGUGAGCACUAUAUUCAUUUAGUUAGGGAUUGAUUCAGAUCAAUUCAAGUUAGGUUACUUCCAGGGGUUUAUCAGAUUGGAAACCAGUUGUGCUGUAGAACCAUUUGUUUGUUGAACUUGACCAAUUUGUUUAACGAUUCUUGAUGCCAGGUUCGAGUAUGGAACGCUCAAAACUUCUAUGGUCCAAGCACGAGAUCACCAACUUCGAUCCGGAGGAGAGUAAUGGCGACCCCGGAUCAGGAACAGAGACGGUUGAAGUUGAAUCUUGCUAGAAGUGAAGCCGAUGGUGAUGAUUCAGUUUCGUCAGAGAAAGAAGCAAUGCCAGCACCACCUGGAACUCCUGAAACUCAAAGGAAAGUUUGGGAGGAAGAGGAAGUUUCAGGAGAGGUGUUUGUGGAGACAACACCUGAAUCUGCAGAGAAGAGCCCUUCUUCUGUGUUGAAUCCUCCCUCUUCCUUGAAAAGAAAAACCAUUCGUGACUAUUUUAUUACUGCAUAAACAAAGAACGUGCUUAGAUAAAUAACUAUUUUUUCCCUAUGCAUUUGUACAGUAACAGAACUAGCUUUGGUUAUCGAUGUGACUAGUAAAUGCGCUAAUACACGGUUGCAUAAAAUUGUUCUUGCAAAUUUGAAGUUCCCCUGUGUUUACUUUUUUACCAAACACGCCUUGUCUUAGGAAGCUUUAAGCAUUCUGCUUAAAUGUAGCUCAUAGUUUAUAUGGAGUAAAAAUAGAUUUCGGAGCUAGCUCUAUCCUUUAGUAUCUUGUGAUUUCCCUUGAUUGUAGUUAAGAUCAAGUAAUUAAAACGGGCACUUUUUUUUGACGAGAAUGGCAAUAGCCAGAUUAAUUUAUUAAUGUUGACGCAAUGAUGAUUACUAUAGGCGUAAAUUCACAAACGAAGAUAUAUGGAGUAACGGUCGUUAUUAGAAGUAUAAUAGGACCUUUUUCCUCACUCUCGUGACAAAUUAAUCCUAAAACCCAUUAAUUCUAGACAUUUGACAUAAACCGAAUUCAAAGAACACAACAUUGACUAACACCAAAAAGAAAUAGAGUAGUGAAAUUUGGAAGAUUAAAAAAUAGAAACAAACUGAUUCUUAGAAAGAAGAGAUGAUUAGGUGCUUUCAGUUCGGUCUGUCAGGAAAUCGAGAUGUUCACUUAUUUACAUUGUCGAUUCAUCUCCCAAUUGUCCUGGUUCCUUUACUGUCCGACGCUUUUUUGAAUCCCAGUUAAUUCCCAUCAAGUCUUCCUUCAGCUGCGUAGCACUGCUAGCUCCAACAUGGAGCGUGGAGUCUACUCGUUCAUGGGGCAUCGCAAAGGUUUGCCUUCAUGUUCUGCUACCAGCCAGCGCCCACCGCCUCUUGGUUGUGUGGACAAUUGCGGUGAAGCGCGCAAGUUGACAUCCCAUAGUCUCGACACUUCACCAUAUGGAUGUUUAAAACGUAUAUCACGAGUGCGAUCUACAUGUCCCAUCACACCACAUAUAAAGCAAUAGUUUGGGAGCUUUUCAUAUUUGAAACGGGCAUUGACGACUUGCCCUCUCGAUAAUUUAAUCUUUUUUUCUCUUCAGCUGAUUGUGUGCAUCCAUUCGGGCUCAGAAGCACAUCAAAGGGAUCUCUCCAUCGUAGUAUUGGGUCGUGUCGUAUGAUACGAAGCAGUCGAUGAAGUUUCCUAAUGUGCGAGCUACAGGCUCCGCAAAGAACCCGCGAGGUAGAUCGUAUGCUAGUACCCAAAAAUCAGUUUGUCGUAGCGGAAUCAACACUAGAGACUCACCCUAAUGCAUCUCAUGUGUGAUGAACAGUUUAUCAUUUGUGAGUCUAGGGGUCAUUGUCGAUGACCCAAUGCACAUUGAGCUUAUGAUAGAAUUUGAAUAGGAAGCGUUUUCCACCCAGAUCACGAAUAGCUACCCCUUUUUCGGGCGCCAAAUUUCCGGCAUCCUAUCUUCCACCACAACUUAAAGAUGCGAUCGGUAAGGAACUCACCGACCACACACAUCGAAUAAUCUUCGGUGACCGGUUCCUGUUGAUCAAGUCCCUCAAUUUCCUCAACCUAGUCUUCAAUCGCCGCUAGCGUUAUCCCCCGCAUAUGGACUUUCAUAGCGCGGAGCGUAGCCGGAGACGACGAGCAAGAAGGAUGAGCGGCGGCAGAUUGCGGCUAAAGAAACGAGCUUCCUGCCUUGCUCUAUGGAGGCAGAUUUCUGAGUUGAUGGUGAUGGAUUUGUGAUGUGGACACUUUUAAUUUAAGUUGAUUUUUUAGCACUUCAUUCACGUAAUUAAAUAAAUAAUUUCCAGUAUUUUAUAUUUAUUUCCUUACGUUAUCUAAUUUUUUGAAAGAUUAAAACUUUGAUAUAGGCAAGAUCAUGACACGUCGAAGUUAAGUGAAUGAGACUCCUAACAAGGUAAUAACAAAGCAGUUCAUAAACCGAAUGACCUUGAUCUUUACUAAGCUUGAGAUCAUUGAACAUAUAAUUAAAUACGUUAAUGAAAGAUAAGAACUUUAAUAUAAAAAUCAUUCAAAACGAGAAACUGAUAACAAAAACAAAGCAAACGGCCAACAAAAUAAUAGACGGUGGAAGGAUGAUGCAGAGCCAUCCACCCUUUUUUCCCAGUUUCCUUACUGCUUACUUCUCUAUGCAUAUCACAAGACGCCCUUGAAACUUGUUAGUCAUGCAGAGCCCUUACUCGCCAGGUCACCGCACCACGUGUUACUCUAUCACUUCUCCUCCCUUUCCUUUAAAGAACCACCACGCCACCUCCCUCUCACAAACACUCAUAAAAAAACCACCUCUUGCAUUUCUCCCAAGUUCAAAUUAGUUCACAGCUAAGCAAGAACUCAACAACAAUGGCGGAUCGUACAACACAGCCACACCAAGUCCAGGUCCACACCCAGCACCACUAUCCCACCGGCGGGGCUUUCGGCCGUUAUGAAGGUGGACUCAAAGGCGGUCCACAUCACCAGCAAGGAUCAGGCAGCGGCCCAUCAGCUUCCAAGGUGUUAGCAGUCAUGACCGCGCUCCCCAUCGGCGGGACCCUCCUUGCCUUGGCCGGGAUAACCUUGGCUGGGACGAUGAUCGGGCUGGCGAUCACCACCCCGAUUUUUGUCAUCUGCAGCCCUGUUCUAGUCCCGGCCGCUCUGCUCAUCGGGUUUGCCGUGAGCGCGUUUCUGGCCUCGGGGAUGGCCGGGCUGACAGGGCUGACCUCGCUGUCGUGGUUUGCGAGGUAUCUGCAGCAGGCUGGGCAGGGAGUUGGAGUGGGGGUGCCGGAUAGUUUCGAGCAGGCGAAGAGGCGCAUGCAGGAUGCUGCUGGGUAUAUGGGGCAGAAGACCAAGGAAGUUGGGCAGGAGAUCCAGAGGAAGUCUCAGGAUGUGAAAGCAUCAGACAAAUAAGGUGAUAAUAAGGGGUUUUGGGUUCGUGUGUAAACUGGUAAAAUGGAAAUUCUGGGUUUUACUGUACUUUUGCAUGUAGUGGAAUGAAUGAGUUCUUGUUCUCUUUUGUCUUUUAAUCAUAAAGUAAGAAGCAGCAUUUCAUGUUCUGGUUGAAUAUUGUCAAGAAUUCGCAACAAAUUUAGCUAAACCAGUUCAAUCUUACCGGUUAGACGACUUCCCAGUAAGAAACAUUCCAGGUCCAUCCCGG
Molecule: long non-coding RNA, 60417 nt
Filed under: Linum usitatissimum (flax)
Lineage: Eukaryota; Viridiplantae; Streptophyta; Magnoliopsida; Malpighiales; Linaceae
Description: long non-coding RNA (LUSI_LNC006101)
Source: RNAcentral